Molecule: long non-coding RNA, 56038 nt
Filed under: Eucalyptus grandis
Lineage: Eukaryota; Viridiplantae; Streptophyta; Magnoliopsida; Myrtales; Myrtaceae
Description: long non-coding RNA (EGRA_LNC003320)
Rfam family: Eukaryotic large subunit ribosomal RNA (bases 13674-14277)
Source: RNAcentral
AAUGAGAGUCCGAUGGUACAGCAGCAAAACUUGACAACGGUUCUGGGAGUGGUGCGAGAUUUGACAAAAGUGUUGGUGGCUUUUGAUAUUCGUAUUGAGAGUUUGACGGAGGUGGACCUGCCGAAUGUUAUAGAUAAUAUGCUUCGCAUGGAUUUGGCCGUACUGCGAGAGCAUCUUUGCCUUUCCAUUUAUGUUGAGCCAGGGCUGUUGAUGUGUGGAUUAUGAGACGAUAUGGGUCCAACCGGGAUUUGUUGUUCUCGCUACGUGACUAGUGGAGUUUCCGACCUGUCCGGCCAUUGGCUUACUUCUAGUAUGACCAUUGAGUUUUGGUGGAAGUGGUCAGUGAGACUUAGACUCUCGGUUGGUACAAUUUAGGUACCGAUCAAGCCGAGCAGUUCCAUAUGAACGGCAUGCCAAGCUCCUUUGUAGCAGCAACUUGUGGUAUUAACAUAUGGGGUAAGUAGCUAGUUUUUUCGCGUUGGACUAUCUCAGAUUCUUCGUAGACAUACCUUUAAUAACCUGGUUAGCAUAGUGGAUUUUGCUUGAACUGCUUCCUCCUUCUUGCAUGUUUGUGAAAAUAUGAAGUGAAAGAAACUUUUUUCCAUGGCUUUUGGCAUGGAAUGAGGAAACUGACGUGAACAUGAUGAAUAUCCCACUUAAGGGCAGCUCUUUCUAGAGGAAGAAGAGUUGUUCAAUUGAUGCGAGGGACGAUGGGAUCCUCUCUCUUUUGUGGACGGGAUAACUUUUGGGAAGUUGAGGAAACAACUAAUGUGGUUUUGCGAUCUAAUUAAUUUGAAAAUAUGGACAAAGAAUGAAGGAGAUGAUUGAGUUAUAAGGGGAACUUAUGUGGGAAUUGGGAACUUGGAAUUGAAGAUUACAUUCCAAAUUAUGUUUCACAAACACAUAGUUUUUAUCCAUAUUUUUACUGAUGAAAGAAAGAAUAAAGCUGUUUGAAAGGAGAAUCCCUGUUAUGGAAGGGGAGUUUAUGCAUAAUGCGGAGAACACAUUCACUAAGGUUUCUGUGGAAACAAUAGGUUAGAGAACAUCUAUCUAAGAGCUAAAACAGCCAAAAAAGAAAAAGAAAAAGAAAACAUUUUUCAUUGCUUUAGUUCGUAGCUUACCAAUAAAUAGGAAUGAAGUUCCCUUCAUUGCAAUUAAUGUUCCAUUCAACAUGUUAGGUUUGAGACUACGGAAAUUAAGGGAAAAGGAUGUGUGUUAGUCUAUUCUGGUCAUAUUCCAUCCAUCGUACCGUUGUGGCUGCUUAAUGAUAGAUUUAAUUGUCGGUCUGCUUGGUCUAGUAGCGGGGAACUGAUACUUGCCAUUAGUUAUCAUUGUUAUAUAGUGUCUGCAAAAUAUUGUCUCUGGUAAAUAUUUUGGUGACUUGGCUUACUCGCACCUGUCAUUUUCACUCUUGUUGUUGAUCUUUUAGUUAAUUAGAAACUGCCUUCCUCUUGUCCACGUAUGACUCCUGAGCUAAUGGAGGCAUAGUUGUGCAAGGGCAGUGAAUAAUCCCUGUGAACUGUGAUUGCUCUGAUAAGUGAAUUUGCUAGAAUAUAACUUAAUCUGGGUUGUCGAUUUCUAAAGCAAGAUUGUCGUGUUUUGGAGGGAGGCACACAUUUGUUGUAUCUGACUAAUGUAUUUAAGCAUCAGAUAGUGCUUUUGUUUUCUAGGUAAAACGUCUUAUGAUGACACAUGCUGUCUUGGCCCAUUUGUAUGACAUGGUCACGGAGAAACGAAACGUGAGCAAAGUUAUAGCUAACUAGUACGAUGGUGUUAUGACAAGUGUGGAAACUGUGAUGGAAUUAAAACUGAGAAGAAUAAAAGAUGACACUGAUUUGCACGGAAACCGUUAGCAGGAAAAAUUAGGGGAAGAGUAUAAGGAAAAUCAACCAUGAAAAUUCAAGAAUUACAAAAAGUGCCUCGAGAAUACUGUCAUGUUUUUCUGAUGUUGCGAUGCAUAUUUGCCAUACUUGGUGUCGAAAAAUGCCAGUGUUAAUGGCUUUUCGUUUAUGAACUUCUUUUAGAUGCGGAUUCAACUUCCAAACUCGUGGCUGUUUGCCUAAGGAUGUUGAUAUUUGUGGGUAGCCUUACCAACUUGUCAUGGAUGGAGCUUUCCACUUUUUUUGGUUGCAGUAGUGUAUCUUUGCUUUCUUAUGCUAUGCCCUAAACAAUAUAAGUUCCAUCUAUUACUUCAAUUUGCUAUAUCUUUUCUGGGCUCUCUCUGGGAUCUGAUUCUAGAACCUCUAAGCACCAACCCCCCCAACCAAAAAAAAUAGAAAAAAGGAUGGAACUUUCCACUUUUUCUGGUUGCAGUAGUGUGUCUUUGCUUUCUCAUGCUUUGCCCUGAACAAUAUAAGUUCCAUCUAUUACUUAAAUUUGCUAUGUCUUUUCUGGGCUCUCUCUGGGAUUUGAUCCUAGAACCUCUAGUCCCCCCCUCCCCCCAAGAAGGAGAUCUUGAAGGAUUCUAUUAGUGAGUUUCCCCAUCAUUUGUUUAUGCUCUCAACGCUUCACCUUUUGUAAUGCCUUUUUAACUUGCUAUAUAUUCUGUGUUUUAUUUUGUUUAAUUUGAUACUACCACGUUUGUCUGAUGCUGUUGACGCGCUUUUGCCAUGCUUGUGUUGAAAAAUGUCAGUGUCAGUGGCUUUUUGUUUCUGAACUUUAAGAUGCGGAUUCAACUUUCCAGCACGUGUGUGUUUCCCUAAAGAUGUCGAUAUUUGUGGGUAGCCUUACCAACUUGUCAUAGACGAAACUUUCCAUUCUUUCUGGUUGCAGUACUGUAUUUUUGCUUUCUUAUGCUAUGCCCCCAACAAUAUAAGUUCCACUAUUGCUUCAAUUUACUGUGUCUUUUUUGGGCUCUCUCCGGGAUCCGAUCCUAGGACCUCUAAGUGGAAAACAAGGUUUCCGUACGUUGCAAUGGUACCUCAAAUCUAGAUAAAUGAAAUGACCGAUCUUUGUACAUGGUACUGCUGCAACUGAACUGCAGUCGAGUUGUGUGAUGUGGUUGCUGUGACUCUUAUGUUUCGUGAUAUGACUCCGAGGUCCGAAUACCAUGUGGAAAGUGCAGCAUCCUUUUUGACCGUUGAACGGGUCUCGAAAAGCUGUAUCGCACUGUCUCAUGUAUGAAUCGCCUACAAAUUUCCUCCGACAGUGAAACUCAAUUGAUUUCUCAUCGAAUCAACCCCUCCUAUUUCUUGCGAUGGAGAGAAACGGAAUGGACAGAAGGAAACGACAGUCAAAUGGGUGAUAUGGCAGAGGUAGACGGGCACUCAGGGAAACAAUGACAAGAUAAAUGAGUCAGAAAGGCAAAUAAAAAUAAAUCUCGAUUUCUAAUAACCAAGAGGCAAGUUUAAGUUAAAAGUCCUGCCCCUGAACAUCAUGAGAUCAAGAUUAAGUUUGCUCUAGUUAGAGUCUCAUCAUAUACUUGAGUGUUUCUCACGUUUAGAUUUAAAUCUUGUUUGCUGGGAAGUGUUCCCUUGCGAAUAUCUUUCACCAAAGCGGCGAGUCUUCGGUUUUUUGUUAUUAGGACAGGAUCAUGUGUAGUUUGGGAAAGGGAGUGCAAAGUUCUACGCUACUUGCAAUAAAUUAAAGGAUAUAAAGGAGAUAAAUAAGUCGACCCUGUAGAUCUGCUCCAAGUUCUUGAGCCCACGCUUCAAUUUUCCCAUGGCCAGCAACACUGGUGAGAUUUUCGUCAAAGGAGGACAUGACCUCCCUCAAUUGAGUCCUCUUGGCACAAGAAUCCACUUAAGCCUUUUCUCCAACAACAGCAAUAGGGAUAACAUCUGAUUCCAACAUUCACUUGGUAUGCACUACCAACUCUCUUAACCAUUCUCUCUACUGCUCAAUCUAAUACCAUUUGUCAGAGGGCAGAAACUUGAGAUCGUGAACCGUGCAGCACCUAGGCUUCACAGGACUCAUUCAUCCCUUACUGUAAUCGUCUAAGCUCAGCCUACCACUGAACUAUUGCUCACUUGCUCACUUGGCCCAUCUUGAAUCAUACGGACGGGUGUUUACACUUGAACCGAUAGUUACUCUUGUAACUGAAGUUCCAACCAGCUAGCUCGCCCUUCACAUCAUUAUCGACACCUCUAUAAAAAUAAAAAUAAAAGUCAAUGCUCGAGGAGGAGGAAUGUGACAUUUGGAUUCUGCAACGUUCUCCCUAAGAAUACUGAAUGUCCUCUUAUGAAAAUUACAAUUGACUGCAGCAGUGGCAGGGUUUGGGGUUUAGUUAAUACUGACGGUCACAAGUUAAUGUAGAUUGGACGAGCAGAUCCUUCUUCUGAAAAUGACAUUUUUGUCGAACCCAAGAGCGAUCAUGAUCAGAGUAGGAAAGGUUCCAUUUAUGCUACUAGCAUAUCCUUUGCAGGCUUUUAGCGAUCAAAUUGCCAAAAUAAAAGUAAGCUGCUCCAAUUUUUUGUCUUCGUAGAGGAAAAGGUGACAUGUAAGCUCUGUGGAGAGAAGUAUGGUUAAUCAGGCGUAUUAUACCGGCUCUAGCAGCUGAAGAAGCCUUGUAUCGAUUCUAAUCUCUUCUACGAGACAUCAUCUGGUAUCUGGUCAGAGUUGUAGAUUGAAUAGAAUUACACGGAGAGGGAAAAUUCCUACUUCUGGUUUGAAAGUGACUGUUGAGUUUUGCCAUCUUGGUAUGUUAUGCUAGGAAGUGUGCUUCGAAUACAAUUCAGUGGCCAUGUACCACACGUGAAAGUUGCUGCGGCCAAUUUUUAUGAUAGUGCCUAGAACACUAUAAGAAUGAAGCAUCUAUCUUUGGCUGGCCACGCCAAUAUAGCUCAGUGGAAAUCCAUGCGAAGCAUUGUUCUAUAACAAGCUCUGUUAAACAUUCCAUACUCAUUGUGUUGAAGGCACUCUGAUUGCCUGAGAAUGAGGAAUGUCGCACAAUGUUGUUGAUUAAUGGGGGCCUUUUUCUAACGAAUCAGGAGUCGGUUCUUUUCCAAGGAAAGAGUCCCCUUAUGAAGCAUUGUUCUAUAGCAAGUGUUAAACAGUGCAUACCCAAUGGGCUGGAGGCACUCUAAUUGCCCGAGAGCGAGGAAUGUCGUGCAAUGUUGCUAAUCAAGGGGAGAGUUUUUUUUGAUGAAUCGAGAGUUAGUUCUUCUCGAAGGAAAGAGUCCCCUCGUAACCUCAACUUUUGCGGGAUCUUUCUUUUCCCGCUGAGAAAAUCACGGAGCUUGUUUUCCAGGUGAUGCUUCCAAUGCUUCCAAGCCAUUAUCACUUAAGCAAUCAGCGUAUCACGGGAUAGUAGAGUUUCAUAUGGACAGAUUGAAGACCGAGAGUGAAUCUUCUUUUUUUUUCUUUUUUCGCCCCUUUAGUGGUCCUAUUAGAAUGAGGGCUAGAGCACCUCAUUUAUGUGAUAUACGGGGUUGGAUAUAUCAGCUUCUGACACGUUAAUUAUAUAGGCUUGUAUUGUUGUUUGUGGAGUUUUGGAUUUCAUCUAAACAUUUGGAAGGAUAAUCAAAGAUCUCCGUUGUAAUCACCCAAAGCGAAGUCGAAUCUGAUAUACUCUGGAGUGUACUCCGAAUGCAUGUUGUGGUUUGAAUGUACUUUGAUACCAGAAGUUUCCGGCUUGUUGCAUCCGCUUAUUUGCUCUAUCUUACUGAACGUACAUGCAGGAGCAUGAUGAAAUUACAGUUCCUUCUCUUGUGGACAAGAUAGGGUUCUUUAGCCUUUCGCGUCUUCUUCUCCGUUGCGAUUGAACAGGGGAGCUGCACCAGAAGACUUGUAGUUGACUUAUUAUCAUGACUUUCACUGCAGGUCGAAUUGCGUUGACGGUCUUUUUUAGUCGUCCAGAGUCCCGUCAUCAUACACUUUUUCCCCUGGAAAUCUGCUCCGUGCAUAGUACAUGUGGGGCACGCUUGUCCGAUCUGACCUGCCCCACCUUUGCAUUUUCUCGGUCAAAAUUCCUAGACUGAGACGUCAUGGAUCCUCCUGUCCGGGGUGUGUCACAUUUGUAAUUUCUCGGUCCAGAUUCCUAGAUCGAAACGUCAUUGAUGCUCUGGUCCUGCGGCAUGCACCCCUCCCCUUUUUCCCUUUUCCUUUUUUUCUUUCCGUUUCUGUCAUGCUUGCGCUUGGCCCUUUCUACUGGAGCUGAGGCCGUCCACUUUUCUUGUUCUCCUCUCCAUCUUCUUCGAUUCGUCUCGAAUUGUAAGGAUUGCCAGUGAAGUCGCUACUUCGGUUCAUGUGCGUGUCAAGGUAAUGGCGUUCAGGAACAUCUGAAGUGCUUCAAUCCACGGAUUCCUCCAUAUGUAGUUUCUCAAGAUUUGCCACGUAAAGUUUGUAUGAUGGUAGAAGUUAUUUUAGUUACUUUGUCAAUUGUUCAAUUUUGCUCGAGUUCAAGCAUGCAUGCAGGUGUGGCAAACAAACAGGAAAGCGUACGUACACGGACAUGAGAUUAAAAGAUUAUCAAGUUUUUUCGUUCAAAGAUAUUUCCUUGUUUUUAGGAUUCUCGAUAGCAUUUCAAUAUAAAAUGACUUUGAUGCUGUUUUCGUUAAUUCGAACUAGCAUUUUGAUGUUGGUCGGCGGUUGUACUCCGACCACCGUGAUUGGCUAAUGCUUGGAAGUGAACCGGUUCACGAGAGUGAGGGCAUUGUUUUUUUUUUUUUUUUUAAAAAAAGACACGUACUAUUCCUUGGUGACCAUUAGUUGCAAGCUCCAGCUCCGUGGACUUGCUCACACCGCAAACCGUCUCAUCGUUAGCCACUGAUCGUGAAUUCUUUGCACCGGUCCCGUUUUGGAAAUAAAAAAUCCAAACUGGGUAAUUUUCUUGAACUAAAUUUCAUCUUGAUACUAUUGCCUAAAUUGAAAUAUCUGAUGUCAUAGUGAUUUCAUCGAGACUUUAGGCAUUAUCCAAUAGGAUAUUAUUGGCAAAAAUAAAACUUUAAUUGCCAAUUUGAUCAGUAAGAUUUCCGAUUAUUUUUUUAAUUAUGUUGAUUUUGAUGAUAUUUUGACUUUAAAAUCAUCAAAAUUAUUAAUUUGAUCCGUGAGACUUUGGAUCAAUUUUUAAUUAUUUUGAUUUUUCUUGACUGUUGUGAUGUUUAGGGUUAGAAUAAUUGUUAAUUUAAUUCAUGAGACAAUGGAUUAUUUUUUUCAAUUAUUUUAAUCAUUUAUUUGAUGAAUAUUGAAUAUAAUGCUUAUAUUUGGAAAUUGUUUGUUUUGAAAAAAUCCAAAAAAAAUCAAAUUGUGUAUCAAAGUUUCCUAAAAAAAUCUACUCGCACUAGUAAUCCUCUUCCCCCGAUGAUUCUCUCAAAUCGAAUCUUUUCCUUACAGAUCACGUGAAUCGACGUGCCAAAAUCGAGCUCGGAGGAGGCGAGGCUUUUCACAAGGGGAGAGCCCAUCGAUCGCCCGAUUCACUCGCACGUGGUGAGGGUCCGUUCCCGCACCAACAGGAGAAACCGCCAGCCUCCGCAGCGCUUCAUCAGGCCGAGAUAUUGGACUUGAUCGCCGGAGCAGGUGCAGGUGCGUGUCGUCCCUUUAUAGACAGCCAUCUCUUCAUGGCGUGGACACUCGGCCUCUUUCGCGAGCAUCGCCUGAGCCUUUGCCGUAUAGAUCAGGGUUCCCUAACGGACGAGGUGGAGAGGCAGUACCCUCGCCAGUGGAGAUAUGUCAGGUUGUUAGGGUUUUGCCGUUCUACCUUUUGCAUUGCUAAUGUGGCUGACCGUGAGGUUGCUAUGUGGGAUCCGAUCUCUGAUCGCCAUAGCGUCUUGUCAGCAGAUGCUGAGAUACCCCAUGGAUUGGAUCUCUCUGUUUAUGGAUUUGGGUAUGAUGAAUGCAAUGCUGAGUUCGUGUUGUUGAGGGUGGUUCAGACCUUGCGGAGGCCAAUUGUAUCUGAAGUUAGCAUCUAUAAAUCAGAAGCUAACGUGUGGAGACGGCUCCAAGGGAUGUCAUACUUUUUGGUUGAGCCAGGCAGAAUGGGAGUUUACCUGCGCAGCCGUCUGCACUGGAUAAUGAGACGCGAGUGGGUGCGAAAUUCGGCAAAAGUGUUGGUGGCUUUUGAUAUUCGUAGUGAGAGUUUUGUGGAGGUGGACCAGCUUAAUGUUAUAGACAAUAGGCUUCGUAUGGAUUUGGCCGUCCUGGAAGAGCAUCUUUGCCUUACCGUGUCGAUGUGUGGAUUAUGAGAGAAUAUGGAUUGAACCAACCAUGGGAUCUGUUGUUCUCGCUACGUGACCACUGGUGGAGUUUCCGACCUGUCCGGCCAUUGGCUUACUCCCAGGAUGGUGGUCAAAUUUUGGUGGAAGUGGGCAGUGAGACUAUGACUCUUGGUUGUUACAAUUUACGUACCAAAGACGUCGAGCAAUUACACCAUAUAAACGGCAUGCCAAGGACCUUCCUAGCAGCAGCAACUUUUUCGUGGUAUUAGGGAACUGCCAAAAGAUAUGGGGUAAGUAUUUCAUGGAAAGUAGCUAGUUCUUUGCUUUUCGUAGAUAGGCCUUUAAUUAAUAACUUGGUUAGAUGUGAAGCGAAAGAAACCUUUUUUCCACGGCAUAAAUAUACUGCUUGAGGAUAGCUCUUUUUAGAGGAAGAAGAUCUGUUCAAUUGAUGCGAGGGAUGGUGGGAUCCUCUCUUUUUGUGGACUAGAUAACUUUUGGGAAUUCAAGGAGAGCUACUAAAGUGGUUUUGUGAUCUAAUUAAUUUGAAAAUAUGGACAAAGAAUAGAGGAGAUGAUUGAGAAAUAAGGGGAGCUAAUGUGGGAAUUGGGAACUUGGAAUUGAAGAUUACGUGCCAAAUCAUGUUUCACAAAACAAAAUAGUCGUGUACUCCUUUAUUUUUAUCUGUAUUUUUGCUGAUGAAAGAAAGAGUAAGGUUGUUUGAAAGGAGAAUCCAUGCUAUAGGAGAGGAGUCUAUGCGUAAUGCAUGUGAGCAGAACACAUUCACUAAGAUUUCUGUGGAAACAAUAGGUUAGAGAACAUCUAUUUAAGAGCUAAAACGGACAAAAAAGAAAAAGGGAACGUUUUUCAUUGCUCUAAUUUGUAGGGUACCAAUGAGUUGGAUCGAAGUUCCCUUCAUCGCAAUUACUGCCUUAUUCAACAUGUUAGCUUUGAGACCACGAAAAUUAAGGGAAAAAGACGCGUGUUAGUUUAUUCCGGUUACGUUCCAUCGACCGUACCGUUAUGACUGCUUAAUGAUAGAUUUAAUUGUCGGUCUGCUUAGUCAGUUAGCGGGGGACUAAUACCUGUCAUUAGUUAUCAUUGUUAUAUAGAAUCUGCAACAUGAUGUCUCUGGUAAAUAUUUUGGUGACUUGACUUACUCGCACCUCUCAUUUUCACUCUUGUUGUUGAUCUUUUAGUUAACUAGAAACUGCCUUCCUCUUGUCCAGGUACGACAACCUUCCAGACUAUUUCCAGCUACUCUCUGAGCUAAUGGAGUCGUGUAAGUGGUUUUGCCGAACAAAAUUCAUCGAGCAUGAUAUUUUGUAAAUAGGACUUUAAUUAAGAAAAUACAGCUCCAUUUGGGCUGUCUAUCUUAUUGAGGAGGGAGGCGGACAGUUACUGUAACUAAUUAGUGAAAUUUUGCAUUGGAUAGUGGUUUCCUUCUCUUGAUGAACCAUCUUAUGAUGGCACAUGCUGUCUUGUCCCAUUGGUAUGACAUGCAAUGGAGGAAUGAAAUGGGAGCGAAAGUUUUAGAUAUCUAGUAUGAAGGAGAUCUUGAAGGAUUCUAUUGGCGAGUUUCCCUGACAUUUGUACUUUAUAACUUGACAUAUAUGAGAUGCUUUAUAGAGUUUAUUUGGAUAUUGUUGUGUUUGUUUGAUGUCAUUGAUGCAUUGUUCGUGAUAACUUUCAGACAUAAAUUGCUAUAAAAAAUGAGAACCUUUUCUAUUUACUAAUUAUUUCAAGUAAGCGAUCAUUUUUUCCAAAUCGUUCAUCUUUUGCAAAGUAAACAAAACCUUAAAGUCUUGCUUCUUUCCUUUGAUUUUGCCUUGUAACAUCGUCACAGGAACAUUCAAAGUGCUUCAAUUUGAAUUCCUCCUUAUGUAGUUUCUUAGAAUUGCCAUGUAAAGUUUGUAUGAUGGUAGACACUAGUUACAAGUUACUUGGUCAAUUGCUCAAUUUGGUCAGAGUGCGAGCACAUAUUCAGGUGUGGUAAGAAAACAGGAAAGCGUUUAUACAUGGACUUGAGAUUGGAUGAUCACCAAGAUAUUUGUUUGAACUUGUUAUUUGAAUUCUCGACAGCAUUUCAAUAUGGAAAGACUUCGAUACUGUUUUCCUAAUCCAAACUAGCAUUUCAAUGCUGACCAUCGGUUGUGUAGUCUGACCACAAUGACUAGCUAUGCUUGGAAGUGAACCAGUUCACGGAAACAAAGGCAUUGCUAGUCACUCAAGCAUCCUCAUUCACCCUUUGCCUUCUCACCAACUUUACGCUUCCAUCCAUAAUACGACCUCAAGCUGUCACACUGAAUGAGCCGAUUUAUGAAGCCGUCCAUUCUACAAAGGUAACAAUUUAAGGAGAAAAAUUACUAAAAUUUCGGGUCAGGUGAAGUAGAAGUAGCUAAAUUUGUAUUUUAUAUAAACGGGUCAAUUUGAAUUGGAUCAUUUUCAAUCCUAUCUAAUUUUGAUAUGGAAAGACUUCGAUACUGUUUUCCUAAUCCAAACUAGCAUUUCAAUGCUGACCAUCGGUUGUGUAGUUUGACCACAAUGACUAGCUAUGCUUGGAAGUGAACCAGUUCACGGAAACAAAGGCAUUGCUAGUCACUCAAGCAUCCUCAUUCACCCUUUGCCUUAUCACCAACUUUACGCUUCCAUCCAUAAUACAACCUCAAGCUGUCACACUGAAUGAGCCGAUUUAUGAAGCCAUCCAUUCUACAAAGGUAACAAUUUAAGGAGAAAAAUUACUAAAAUUUCGGGUCAGGUGAAGUAGAAGUAGCUAAAUUUGUAUUUUAUAUAAACAGUUCAAUUUGAAUUGGAUCAUUUUCAAUCCUAUCUAAUUUCGAUGCUAUCCACUCAUCUGACGGGUGUACCAAUUGGCUACAAGCCCAAUUGCUUCAAUUUGCCACCGUUAAUAGCUAGUCAGCAUAAGCCUAUAACAUUAUUGCUUCCAAUCAGUUUGAAACUUUCACCGUAUGAGAAUUUUUUUUUUCCCUCCCAAUUAAUGAUAUCUUACGCAUGUUAGAUUGUCCUUUUGUUAGUAAAACUAUUUCCAAAAAACAACUUGUAAGUGCUUCUGCGUGGCCAAGGCUUGCCAUGAUUGCUAAUUAAUUUUUCCCCAUGUGCCCUGUGUAUUGGUCAGAGAAGGAAAUGCAAUAGAAAAAAUGAGCCAAGAGGACAUGCCAUAAUUUUUGUACUACACUCAUUUUAAUGUCAAAAAAUUUCAAACGGUCAUUAAGUGCCUUUAAAAGAUGCCGUUAGAGUCCUUUCUUGCCCCACUUUAAGGAUUCAAGACUAAAGUAGGUUGCAAUUCAAAACCUAACCCCUGCUUCCACUUGCAAAUCAAAAUCAAUGCUUCAUCUCGAACGCCACGCCCCUCCUCCUUCGGCCACCACCACCAUCAUCAUUUGAACUCCCUCUCUCUCUCUCUCUCUCUCUCUCUCUCUCUCCCUAAGUCCUCGGUGCCCAUAAUUCCUCCUCCCUUCAUUUUGAAAGCCACGUCGCAUUAUUUAUUCUAAAACAAUGGCACGUGAUAUUUUCGGCAACACAAGUGGCCAAUAUAACUUGAAUGAUCGAUUUUUAGAAGUCGUGGCACUUAAAUGAUCGCCUGGAAAGUUAUAGCGACAAAAUGAGCAUCAUACGAUGGCGCUGUUAGUGUCCUUCUCCAAAGAAUUGAGGAGCCAAAAGCUAGUUGCUUUUUAGUAGUGGGAUAAGUGGCUUAGCUUUUGACAAUCUUUUGAAGGACAGGAAUAUUAAUGGAUUUAUCCGAACUGCAUAUUUUUACCUUUCCAAGCAGUAGAGAAGUAAAAUUUUCGUUCCAUGAAAACGAACGGCCAAAAUUGCUGUCAGCAGAACGCAAAGAGGAACAAAUUAGCACAAGAAAACCUACUGUCAGACAAGCCUGCUGACAAGAACCAAACAACUUGAAAUUCAAGCUAUGCAUGGCAAGAUUCCCUGAAGAUGGCAUAAUAGGUCUAUACUUGAACCGAUAGCCGCUCUUGUUCUGGACUUCCAACCAGCUAACCUGCCAUUGACAUCAUUAUCAAAGCGUUUACGAAAAAUUGAUGCUCUAGAACUCUACAAGGGUGUGAUGCCCCCACAGGAAGAAUGUGACAUUUGGAAUCUGCAACAUUCUCCCCAAGAAUACUUCAAUGUCCUCAAUCGAAAUUACAGUUUACUGCAGUAGUGGCAAGGGUUGGGCCUACAAGCGUCCUCCAAAUGGAUGGAUUGUAAGUUCCUCUUGAAAGAUUUUUGUUAAUAAUGAUUGUCACAAUUUGAUGUAGAGUGUAUGAGCAGAGCCUCUAAAAUUGACACUUUCAUGGAAUCCAACGGCAAUCGCGAUCUGUGCAAGGAAAGGGUCCAUUCAUGCCAGUAGCAUAUGCAUGUAGACUUUUAUUGAUCAGAGUCAUAAAAUGAAAAUAAGUUGCUCCAAUGUUCGUCUUCCAAGAGGAAAAAGUGAUGUUGUAAGAGUUGUGGAGAGAAGCAUGGGUAAUCGUGGGUGCGAUCCUGGCUCUAGCAGUUGAAGAACCUCUGUCGAUUCUAAUCUCUUCUAUAAGACAUCAUUUGGUAUUUUGUCACUCACACAUUGAAUAGAGUUGCUGGUCAACGGAAGAUACCUACAUCCGGUUUGAAAGUGUCUGCUGGGAGUAGCCAUCAUGGUGAGUUAUGCUAGGAAGUUUGCUUUUGAUAAGGUUGAAUACUAAUGUACCGCACCUGAAAGUUGCUGCCGUCAUUUUGUAUGAUAGUGCCUAGAAUACUAUUAGACCUUAGCAUUUAUCAUGGCUCGGCCACGUUCGAUCUAGUUCAAUACAAAUGCAUGUGAAGCAUUGUUCCAUAACAAGCUUUGCUACACUGUCCAUUGCCAAUGGGUUGAACACACUCUGAUUGCAUUGUCGUGGCAAGUUGUUGAUCAAUGGGAGAGCUAUUUUCUGAAAAAUUGGAAGUCAGUUGUUCUCCGGUGAAAGAGUUCCCUUAUGACCUCAACUUUUGGAGGGUCUUUCUUUUGCUGCCGGGUCAACCACAAAGCUUGUUUUCCAAGUGAUGCUUCCGAGCCAUCUCUCGCUUGACCGAACAGUAUAUCACUUAUUAUUAGAGUUUCACCUGGACAGAUUGAAGAUCGAAGUAGAAUACUUCUACACUUUUUUCAUCAUUUUUGUUCAUCAUUCUAUUGGCAAGUUGAAUUAGCAUUCUAAUCCCGAACCCGUCAACUAUCUGUGGACUACUCGGCUACUCUUGUGGCGAGAGUAGGUUGCCACAUGCCGAUUGGGGGACGGAUUAGGAACGGCUCCUUCGAGGGCCUUGCUCAGACAUCAAAUAGUCAACUAAGAGGAAUCCAACUACUUGAUUAAAACAAAGCAUUGCGAUGGUUCUUGCGGAUGCUCACGCAAUGUGAUUUCUACCUAGUGCUUUGAAUGUUAAAGUGAAGAAAUUCAAUCAAGCACGGUUAAACAGAGGAAGUAACUAUGACUCUCUUAAGGUAGCCAAAUGCCUCAUCAUCUAAUUAGUGAUGCGCAUGAAUGGACUAAUGAGAUUACCACUGUCCCUGUCUACUAUUCAGUGAAAUCAUAGCCAAGGGAAUGAGCUUGGCAAAAUCAACAUGGAAAGAAGACCCUAUUGAGCUUCACUCUAGUCCGACUUUGUGAAAUGACUUGAGAGUUGUAGGGGCAUCUAGAAAUGGCAAAAGUGAAAUACCACUACUUUUAAUGUUAUUUUACUUAUUCCAUGAACGGAAGCGGGGCAAUGCCCCUUCUUUUAGAUCUAAGGUCCGCGCAUGCAGACCAAUCCGAGUAAAAGACAUUAUCAAGUGGGGAGUUUGGCUAGAGUGGCACAUUUGUUAAAAAAUAUCGUAGGUGUCCUAAUAUAAGCUCAACAAGAACAGAAAUCUCGUGUAUAACAAAAUGGUAAAAGUUCGUUUGAUUCUAAUUUUUAGUACGAAUACGAACCGUAAAACCAUGGCCAAUCAAUCCUUUAGAUCUUCAGAAUUUGAAGCUAGAAGCAUCAAAAAGUUACCACAAGGAUAACUAGCUUGUGGUGGCCAAAUGUUCAUAGUGAUGUUGCUUUUUUAUCGUUCGAUGUUGGCUCUUCCUAUCAUUGUGAAGCAGAAUUCACCAAGUGUCGAAUUAUUCACCCACCAAUAAGGAACGUGAGCUGAGUUUAGACUAUCGUGAAACAAGCUAGUUUUAUCCAACUAAUGAUUGUGUCACAAUUAAUGAGCCAUUCAUAGUUUCAAAACCUGGAUUUGUUCAUACUUAUACAUGCAUAGCUUAAUCUUUGAAACAAGUAUAUGAUUACUAGCAGAAUCAACCAGGUAGCAUUCCUUCACAACGUUCGUCGGGGAUGAUCCAUCGCAAAGCUUAAGGGCUUUACUUGGUCAAAGAUAAGGAAAGAGCGUCAUUCCGGUGAACCAAUAAAUGCUUAACAAUUUAGGAACAAGGGCCAAUGACCCCAUACCCAUGAAGAGGUUCCGCAUUCAAGAGAACAAGUAGACACUCGUGGUCCAUCUGAACAAUCGAAUGAGAUCACGUUCAUGGAACAAGAGCCCUACUAUCUAGUCCAACUGAGCAUCCAAAAGGAUGCUGUGAUGGAAGGGAUAGCCAAAGGCACACAUGUUCAUCACAAUAGGCAUGCAACAUAGGAACCCACGCUUUUUGCAUAUAACGUUAGCUCAUGGAGCAACAACUGAUCGAAAAUGAGAGAAGAGUUCGAUGCACCAACAUAGAGCCUGCCAACACACACAUUCUUAUUGUCUUUCACAUGCCAUUGCAUACACUAGAAAUAAACCAAGCCAACUCAUCCAUAGCUCCUCAAGCAUGAGAACCGAGGACCACAUGGACUCAUCGAAUGAGGUCACAUCUGCACCACUAGACGCUAGAACACCAAUAUCUUGUUCGGAUCAUGGCUUGAUAGCGCGUGGCUCAUUCAUUCAUGCCCGAAGCAUGGUCUCAUCUUACUGAAAGGCAUAGAUUCAUCAAUUCCCAAGUGACUCGGUCACCGAUUCAUCCUUUAUGGCCGCUUGGCUUGAACACAACCCAUGCACUCGGCCAUGAUGCCUGCAUGAGGGGAGCCAUUUCAGUUAAGGGCAAAGCACAUUGAAGUGAAGUAUCAUCAUAUAUGUUAAUUGAUAGAUGAUGAGAUAUUGUCAUUGAAGAAGACCUUUGGUGCAAGAAAUCCAGUACAUAUGUUAACCAAGGCUAUCACCGCUAAGAGAUUGAGGUUGUGCAUUGCCUCAGCUGGCCUCCUUGGUUAGUAAUGAGGAGACUACUGCACUAAGACAUUUUUUGUUAUAAAGACAAGUGAAGAUAUAAAAGACUAUUGCCAGUUUAAAGAUCACCCUCCAGAUGGGAGAUUGAUGGAGUUGUGGGGUUCGAUAGAGGAAAAUAAUAUAAAAAUAGAAGGGUUUUUCAUUGUUAAUAGCAUACAUGUAAUUUAUUUGUUAUAGUAGAGAAAAAUUAUUGUUGCUAAUGGCAUAUAUGUAAUUUUCAUCAUAACUUCGUAUGCUUUAACUCCUACAAAAUGGGACAAUAUCUUUUAUAGUUGUAACUUGUAACUCCGAAAACCGCGAGCUCAUGUGCUUUAUUUUCUGAUUUUGAUUGGGCUUUCCAUGUAAAAUUUCGCUUGCCUUGUUCUCCAAUUUCUUCUCAUCAACGUUGCAUGUUCCUAACAUAAGGGUCCUGCAUAAUCAGAAUAAGAGAAUCAUUGGAGAGACUCCUUUAGCAUCUGCGUAAAAAGAGGAAAGAAAUACUCUGUAACAAUGCGAAGUUUAAUUCUGAUAAGCUGAAAUGGAUCAAGGUUUGGAAGAUUUGUCCACAAUCCUAAACAGGUUCCUCUCAGAGAUGAUUGUCUUAUCUUUUUGGCUGGAUAGUAUACGGGCCGUGGAUUGGCGAGCGUAAGCGAGUCGGGCCUGGCGGAUCCUAGGUAUAAAAAAAAAAAGAAUUAAUGUUUUUAAUAUAAAUUCAUUCCAGGCUCUUUUUUAAUUAUUUAUCUUUUUUAUGAAUUUGAAACAAAUUAAUUUGAUUAAAAUAAUCAUAAAAUGAUAAUUUAUCAUGUAUAUAUAAUAUAUAUUUAAUAUACAACAUAUCUGAACCUGUCGAAAUUCUCUAUUUUUGGAAAAAUGACAUAUCGACGUGUCGUGUCGCGUGUUGGUGUCGAUGUUAUUUAGUUCAUGAUUAUUCUCCUUUUUGUUUUGUCAAAUAUUGUGUGGCCCAACUCGACAAAGUUGAAUAAAACAUGCACGUUCUUCCUGUUUUCUUUGUCUCCUACAUAUGCAAAAAAAUAAAUGUAAAAUGAAAUCCAUGGGCAAUUUCUUCUUUUUACAAUUGUGGUUGAACAUAAAUGCAAUCAUGAGUGGGUAGACUGAAGGAGAAGUCCCACAGAAUCACAAGGUCGGCCAAUCUAAUUUAUUUAAACUAAAUAUUAUUCAACAGCUCAAACUCGAGAUAUAUUUUAACAUGAUAUAUUGCCAGCCAUCACCCUAUACAACAGGAAGAAUGGAUGCAUUCAAGUUCGGCAGAUGAAGUCAGUGUCCUAAAUCCUGAAUGUCUCGAUAUCCUGUCAUUUACACGGAAAAGGAAAAAGAAGCCACAACAGUAAGAUCUAAAUAUUACCUAUGAAACCGCGUCAACUUUGGAGAAGUGGAGAAGAAAAAGCCCAACAUUAGCGGGUCAUGCAGGCUGUACUGUCAAAAAUGAUUGCUGUUGGGAGCUAUAGGUCCCACUCAAACCAUUUUGCUAUGGCCAAACGAAACUCUUCUGGUCAUUAAAUACCACUAUCCCGAAGGAAUAUUGGCAUUUUGUGAGUGCGCUUACACAGAGGAUCUAAGCACUGUAAGCUUGGUUCACAGUAAUCCCAUUUUUAUCCCUUUCGAUCUGCCUGUAACAGGUGAAAUUUCCCAGGGCAAUUUUCACAAAUGGUUCUUGAAUUUGUUCAUCAUUGUUCUUAUGAUUGUGUAUUUGUGUAUUCUUUGCUCGUCUGCUCGCUGUUUCAAGCACUUCAAAGCAGCACAAUUUACAAUAUAACUGCAUCAAGGCCACUCAUUCAGAACCAAACCCUUGUCUCUCCUUGUAAAAUCUUCGAGCUCGGGUUCUUCGGGCCUAAUGGAUCAGAAAAGCAGUACGUAGGAAUAUGGUACAAGAACACGACUUUCUCCAAAGUUGUCUGGGUGGCCAACAGGGACAAGCCACUUGGACACAAAGAUCAAUCUGCAAGUUUGAUAAUUGGCGGAGAUGGAAAUCUGAAGCUUCUAGAUGGGCGAAAAAAUGCUGUCUGGUCUACAAAUGUCAUGGCGAAGUCUAAUUAUUCUGCAGCAGUGCUUUUAGACUUUGGAAACCUUGUUCUUCAAGACGGGAAUGCAAAUGAAAUGUGGGAAAGCUUCGAUGAGCCAACCGACACUCUCCUGCCAAACAUGAAGAUCGGAGUAAACGUGAAAACAGGAAAGAAAAAAUACUUGAUUUCCUGGAAAGGUGAAGAUGAUCCUUCGCCCGGAAGCUUUGUCCUUGGAGUAACGUCGGAGACACCACCUCAGCUUUUCGCUUGGAAUGGAUCAAGUCCAUACUGGAGAAGCGGACAGUGGGAUAAAUCCAAGUUUAAUGGAAUACCGAACAUGAGCAACAAAUACCUGAGCGGCCAUCAGCUUGUGCAAAAUAUCAACCAGGGAACGACAUAUUAUUUCCGCAAUUAUUACAACAACUCCUUUGGAUAUGUUUUCAUCUCAUCGGAAGGAUCUAUAGAGUCUGUUCGUUGGGGGGAUGGAUGGUCAACAAACUGGGAAGCAUCACGAACUAACCGCUGUGAAAUUUAUGGAACAUGUGGUCCUUUCGGAGUUUGCAACACGUUUAGUUCACCUAUAUGCAGCUGCUUAAAAGGGUUUAAACCCAGGUCAGAUGAAGAGUGGAACAGAGGAAACUGGACUGGAGGGUGCGUUAGGAAAAUGGAAUUGAAUUGUCAGAAAUACGCACAUGCAGCAGCUAUGACGACUGUGGAAAAAGAUGUGUUCUGGCCAAUGAAACAUAUGAAAUUGCCUGAUUCUGCUGAUUAUUUGUCAAACAUAGCUGAUGCAGAAGGAUGUCGAAGUUGGUGCCUAGGAAACUGCUCGUGCUUGGCCUUUUCUUAUGUGGAGACUGUAGGAUGUAUGGCUUGGUGUAAAAACCUCAUAGAUACUCAGCAAUUCUCCAGAGAAGGCAAAGAUCUAUUUCUUCGACUUGUGGAUGUGGAUAAAGGUUGGAAAGGUUGAAUUAAUUUGCAUUUAAUCUUGCACUGCCUGUGGUUCUUAUAAUGUAUUUUCCCAGUUCAGGUGUACCUCCGAAGACAAAACUCAUCAUCAGCCUAAGUACUAUUUCUGGCAUCGUGUUAUUCGGAGCUGGCAUUUCAGUGUGUGGUCUUUUCAAGUGGAGAGGUAAUAAAAGAUGUGCACUUCAUGGCUGUGUAAGUGAGAUUUCAUGUUAACCAAGACAUAAGAAUAUUGUAUCAUUUGUAAAGCAAUGGCUUCAGAAGCUUGGCAAUCACUACAAUAGAAACACUGUUGCUUCUCAUGUUCUCACGCUUAUUAUCAGUCGUUUUUAUUUUGUUUGUAAAAUUGCAGGGAAAUUUAGGAAAAUGACAAUCCCAAGGGUCCUUAAUUCAAAGGCCACAGCCAACAGAUCAGAGGAAUUGCUGAGGGAAACUGCAUGGAAAGGGAAAAUGAAGCAAGGUGAUGCGUCGGAAUUAAUGGUUUAUGAUUUGGACAGCAUACUCCUUGCAACGAACAACUUCGACGUGAAGAACAAACUUGGGCAGGGAGGGUUUGGCCUUGUUUAUAAGGUAAAGAAAAAGCCUUCGCCGAGGGAAAUACGGAGAUUAUCCAAGAUCUGAUUGUUAUGUUCGUUUGAAAACAGGGAAAGCUGAACGAUGGUAAGGACAUAGCUGUGAAAAGACUUUUGAGCAGCUCAGGCCAAGGCGUUGCAGAGUUCAAGAAUGAGAUCCUUCUGAUAUCCAAACUUCAACACCGAAAUCUGGUGAGACUUGUUGGUUACUGCACUGAAGGACAAGAAAAGAUACUAGUGUAUGAGUACUUGCCGAACAAGAGCUUGGACGCCUUUCUUUUCGGUUUGUCUCACUCUCUGAGGAACUUAUUUCUGCUUUCAACAAAAUACCGCAGUGAAACUAGAUAUUGUUUCUGUUUACCACCUUGUUUAGAUUCAAAAGAGAAGGCAAAACUCAGCUGGGGCAUCCGCUUCCACAUUAUCCAAGGCAUUGCAAGAGGGCUGCUCUACCUCCACCGUGAUUCUUGCCUUAGGGUCAUACAUAGAGAUUUGAAAGUGAGCAACAUUCUCUUGGACGAAAAAAUGAAUCCCAAGAUUUCAGAUUUUGGGCUAGCGCGGAUGUUUGAAGGCACUCAAGUUUUCCUAAAUACUCACAAAGUUGUGGGGACACUGUAAGCAUUCUAUCAUCGGUCUUAAGAGUACUUACUCAUGAGGCAAUUUGUCACCUAGACAGCAGAUUAGCAGUUUAAUGUGCUCACCUUUCCCUUCAUGCAUGUUCCAACUAUUGUCCUUUAAUAUGACCAAGAAAAUUCUUCCAUUUACAUCCAAUGGUUCCAAUAAGCCAAUUAUGAGGUGGCUAGUACUAUCACCUUGAGGGGAUGAAUAUGUGAUUAUGCACAAUUAAAGCGGAAUUUAAAACAAUGAAGUUCAAUAUUGUGAAAGAACAACAUUUGAUGAAAACUACGAAGGGAUCAGAACUAUUGUGUGCAAUAAAAUAUCAAUCAAAAUGAAAGAGAGGUUAAGGGCCAGAAUAUAUUGCACAUGACAGUUGGCAACAGUUAUAGUAGUUCGGCUUAUAGUAAGCUAAUAUCCACUCUCUCAUUCCGAUAGCCUAUUGGCUAGAUUUCACUAGAGAAUCAAUUAGAGAUUAUAGAGUCUGAGUACUCUCCAGAAUGUGUGAUCAUAUCUUCUAAUCUCACAUGGUCACUCUAAACGACAGCCUCUCAGAGAUUACAAUUUCAACUCAGAGAGACAAGUAUGAAAAUGUCGAGGCUCUCUUUGAACUUUAGAAUUAUAGACUUCAAAUCUUGUUUUCUUUUAGCACCAUGAUCUCCUUUUAUACUCUUCAAUUUCCAAGCUGACCGUUGGACUGAGGAUCAUUCAUCCAAUCCACCCGUUGGACCUAAAUGAUAUGAGAAGAUCUGAUUGCUACUUGGAUUACAAGAUUAGAAUCUUCUUAUGAUUCCAUUGCCCAUACAACAGACGUUGGGUUUCCAUAAGUAGAGUUCUUCAUUAGGUAAGAGCGCCUCAAAAUGAUUCUCAUAUGAAUCAGGAAUCCUUAAUGUUUUGUCAAUCUUCAAAACAUAUUGGGAAUUUUUCUCAACAAGUUUGUUCAUAGUAAUUAUAAACCAGUUCUGUAACGCAAAUGCUAAAAGGUAUUAGAAAGGCAGUACUAGUCGAUUUGGUUUCUGACCUCUCAUGCCAUCGUCCUUGAGUCUGAAUUUUUGUUUGAACUGUAUUUCGUGAACCUUCCAUUUGUAUGAGUUUUUAUACCUUUAUUAUGAUGAUGGCAUCCUAGUAUGAGAACAUAACAUGUCCAAUUCAUACAGGGGUUACAUGUCUCCCGAAUAUGCCAUGGGUGGGAUAUUUUCUGAAAAAUCUGAUGUUUAUAGCUUUGGAGUACUGAUAUUGGAGCUUAUCAGCAGCAAGAAGAACACAAGUUUAGAAUACCAUGGACAGCAUCUCAAUCUCCUGACCUAUGUAAGCGUCAGAUCUAACUUCAAACUAAUAUCUCCAUUCAGGUUUCAAUCAUCGGUAAUCCCUGGGACAAUCUAAAAAUCAACCGGUUGUUACAGGUAUGGCACUUGUGGCAUGAAGGCAGAGGAUUGGACCUAAUGGAUGAAGCCAUUGGUGACGCAUUUUUGCCUUCAGAAGUGAUGAGAUGCAUUCAAUUAGGGCUUCUCUGUGUGCAGGAACAUGCCGCAGAUAGACCUGACAUGUCAGCCGUGGUUCUAAUGCUAAGUGGGCAAUCUGAUCUUCCACAGCCAAAGCAACCAGCAUUUACAUUUCAACGCUCAACGACUCAUGAAGUCCAAUCAGAAGAAGAAUACAUUCGGUCCAGGAAUACCAUCACCAUUACUUUGGCUGAAGGAAGAUAAAACUCUAAUAUGCAUUGUCUCUGACUAAUUCAUCUUUCCAAGAAUUCAGCGUUUAUCAAAUUAUCUGCUUGAAUAAAUAAUCUGUUGUUGCACUAAUGCGUUGAUCUAUGAUGUAAACAUAGAGACAGUGAGGGGCUCCCAGUUGCCAUCGCUCUAUUAGAAGAGUUUUAUGUGUGCACGAAGGCACAAAAAUUCAGAAAGUCUGUAUGCAUCGAGAUAAUCUCAAUAUGAAUAUGAAUACUUUGAGUGUUCUUCACUGUGGAAUUGGUAUGUGACUGCGCAUUCAUUUUGGUUGUCAAAAUUGAUACCAUUCUGAUGUCAAAGCAUAUUCUUGAUUUGCUCUGAGAAGUUGAUGUCAUUUUGAGUGUCCUGUCCAAUUGAUGAUACUCCCUCCUUGCAGUUCCAGUAACUUUUCCAUCGAGUUUUGAUUAAGAAGUGGAAAAAGAAAAGGAGAGCAGGAAAGUCUUCCUAUGGACCUUUCUGUCUUGGAGAUGGUCAAUAGCCAAAUUAUGCGAUCCAGGAUCAUCGUCACACACCCACUAUACCCUUAAAAUAAGCCUUCUCUGAGCGAAGAAAGAAAGGGAGUUUGAGGAAAAUGACAAUCCCAAGACUGAUUAAGUCAUUGGCGACAGCCAACAAAUCAGAGGAACUGCUAACAAAAUUUGCAUGGAAAGAGCGAAUGAAGCAAGGUGACGCAUCUGAAUUGCUGGUGUAUGAUUUUGACAGCGUACUCCUCGCGACAGACAACUUCAAUGCGAAAAACAAACUUGGGCAGGGACGGUUUGCCCCGUUUAUAAGUUAAAAAUAAGCCUUCUUCGAGGGAAAUACAGAGAUCAACCAAGAUCUGAUAGCUAUGUUCAUUUGGAAACAGGGAAAGCUGAAUGAUGGUAAGGAGAUAGCUGUGAAGAGACUUUCGAGCAUCUCAGGCCAAGGCAUAGCUGAGUUCAAGAAUGAGAUCCUUCUAAUAUCCAAACUACAACACCGAAAUCUGGUGAGACUUGUCGGUUACUGCACAGAAGGAGAAGAAAAGACAAUAGUGUACGAGUACUUGCUGAACAAGAGCCUGGACGCCUUUCUUUCUGGUUUGUCUCACUCUCUGAAGAAGUAAUUUCCAUUUUCAACAAGAUAUGGUAGUUGAAGGCUUUAUUUGAUUUGGGCUUAAGGCCCAUCCGCCAAAGUUGGGCCUAGAAAGCCCGGCCCACGGGAAUAAAGCCCGUGGAAAGAGGGAGGUAUAAAAGGGAGGAGAGAGAGAGAAAAACAACCGUUGGUAAAUUGUAUGUACACUGUUUUUCUCUCAACGCUCUCUCCCUCUCUCCCGUUUUCUCCAAAAGCGAACCAGUGAAGCAAUUGAAGGAGUUUGCCUCCUCGGAUCGAACAAAACUCGAUUUCUCUUCCUCUAACGGCGUCGGUGUCUAAUCUCUGGCAAUCAAGGUACGCUCGAAUCCGUGGUGUGCUUUACGAUCGGUGAUACGUGUCGUUUUCUUGGGCUUCGCUUCCGCAUUCAUUUAGGGGUUCGAUUUAGUGUCGAAUCCGGUAUUUCGGGGAUCAGUAAUUCCCAACAUUGGUAUCAGAGCCCGCUUUCACGUUUUCCCGAUCAAUUUCAUGUUCUUUGAUUGAGUUUUUCGCGAAGAAACUUUCGGCCGUACGGAACCGGGCGAAAAUCCCGACACCCGAGACUUCUUCGGCCAUUUUCAUGAGUUUUAGAAUGUCAAAAACAAAUUCUGAAAGCACUGGGAGAAAGGCGACGUCGAGACGAGUCUGGAGAUGUCUCGAGCGCGGCCGGGCGACGCCGCACGCGCCCACGCGCGCGGCCGGAAGGCGCUGCGCGUGGGCGCGACGCGCCCGGAAGCGCUCGAUCGCCAGGCGCGUGUGUCACACGCGCCGGUUGGCGAAUCGGCGCGUGCGCGCCGCCGGCCGGUGAACCGGCACGCGCCGGUCCACGGACCGACGUGUGCUGACGUCAUCAUGACAUCACCCAACGGUCAGUAACCGCUGGGCUGACGUCAUCGAUGACGUCAGCGAUGACGUCGGUUGGCCGGGCGGCGACCUGACCCGCGAACCGACCCGACCCAACCCGACCGGCUGACGAUGGCACGUGCGUGGCAGGUGCCGCUGACGUCUGCGUGACGUCAUCCUGCGCACGCGCGCGGCACGUGCAGCCGGUUCGCCCGAACGGUCCGACCGGUCCGACCGGUCUGUCCGGUCUGACGACCGACGACCGUUGACCGGCGACGACCGUUGACCGUUGACUUGACCGUUGACCGACCGUUGACCGUUGACCCAAAAAAAAAAAAAGGGAAAAGAAUGUGUUUCUUUUUCAAUUAAGUCUAUGUGGAUUAUAUGUAAUCCCUUAUUUGUUCUGCAUUUGUUGUAGGAACAAUGCCUCCCCUGAGGUUGCGCACACCUAUUCGCGCAGUGACCGAUGAACAAAAGGAAAGGCUGUCUAAGUUGAUAGCUGAGCUGACUGAUCAUCGAUGGGAGAGUGGUGGCUUAAUUGAUCACGUCCUUGAAGUCAACGGGAAAAUUCAACAGGUCAUAUGGAAUGGUCGUCCUAUGUCACAGUCAGAGAUGGUGCGAUUUUUCAUAAACACUCUUCCACCUGAAUGGCAAGAUGUGUUGAAUCGCAUAUGGGAUGUCAACAGAGCUGCUUCCUAUAAGAAAAUUGUGAUGGAUUUUGUAAAUGAAUAUUAUUGUAUUGUUUCGAGGGAAAAGAUCAAGAAAUUGAACAAAAGAGGAUCUUUCCCAGUUCGUGUGCUGACUUGGUGUUAGUUGUAUUGACUGAUAUAUGUUAAGUGUGAUUUGUGGACAUAUUAUGUAAUGAUUACUACCUAAUUGUGUUAAUUGAAAGCAUUAUUGUUUUUAUUAAAUGUUCUAUUAUAUAUUGCUUUCUGUUAUUGCUGGUUGCUAUGGGUAAUUAGCUAUGGGUAGUUUUAGAAGUUUUUGUAGUUUCAUAGAAUUGACUUUGCAUAAGACAAUUAUAUUGAUGAUAGUUUUAAGUUAGGAUUUUGGAGGAUGAUUGGAAACAUAGUGACCUUUUGAUUCUGAAACCUUACUUGAAAUUAUUUAUUAAUAUGAUGGGUCUAUGUAAAAGUGGAUGCAUAAAUAAUAGGCAUUAAUUAUUCGUGCAUGUAUGUCUGAUGUGUUCAGACUGAUGGUUUCAGCAACUAAGAAUGUGAUUGCUGAUAUGAACGGCAACAAUUGUGAAAUAUUGAAUAUGAAGAUUCAAUAUGUGUUGGAAAAGCGAGAAGCACUAGAAGCUCUUGACCAAAUUAUGGAAGAUCUUGAGGGUGCCGUGCGCCACCUUGAGCUAGUAAAGGACCGCCUAACGGCAUUUGAGCCGAAAAUAAAUAUUGGCAAUGUUGGUUCUAGCUCAGAAAGGGCUUUGAGCUCUAAGCGCAAGCAUAUUGAUUCGUUCAAUAUAUGGGCAUGCAAAUGAUCAAGUCCUUAUUGCAAGAAAUUAAGGGUUAACCAACACAAGAGAGGAAAACGUCCUCAAGUAAAUAAAAUGUCAAGGGUGAGGUGUUACAAUUGUGACAAGAGAGGUCACUAUGCUUGCGACUGUCGUGAGCCAAAGAAAGCAUACACCUCUAGUACAUUUGAGAACUUUGCUUAUGUGUCGAGUGCUGCAUUAUUGGCUGAAUCCAAUCCUUUGUGGACUGCAGAUUCAGGAACGACAGACCAUAUAAGAUAGAGGAUCCUUCGUGAAAUUCCGACGAUACCAACUGGAACUAUGUGGAUCUAUGUGGGAAAUAAUUUCAGAGUUGAAGUUAAAGGGAUUGGCACCUGCCAAUUGAAUAUGCGUGGUGGACGCACCUUGUUCCUACAUGAUGUCCUAUAUGCUCCAUAGAUUCGUCGAAAUUUAAGUGUCUGUUUUGAUGUUGGUUAAGCUUGGUUUUAGUAUGAAUUUCCAUAAUAGAUGUGUAGAUUUGUAUUUGGAUACAAACUACUAUGAUUUUGGUCACUUUCUGGAUGGUUUUAUUGUACUAAAUGUUGACUGUGGUGAUGUCAAUAUGUUAUUCCCUUGUUUCACGUCUUCUACUUUAUAUGAUAAUGAUGUGAAUAUGGUGGCAUGCUAGACUUGGUCAUAUGGGCCAACAACAUAUGAAAAGACUAGCCAAAGAGGGCUUGUUGGGCAAUAUUGAAAAAGUCGAUUUGCUCAUAUGUAAGCAUUGCCUAGAAGGGAAAACAACAAUGAAACCAUUUGAAAAAGGUAAAAGAGCUGAAUUUCCUCUGCAUUUAAUCCAUUCUGACGUCUGUGGUUCAAUGAAUGUGAGAGGAAGGCAUGGGGCUGUUUAUUUCAUCACUUUUAUAGAUGAUUCUACUCGAUACGGAUAUGUCUAUUUGAUUUCUCAUAAAUCUGAAGCAUAAGUUGUUUCAAAAUGUUUAUGAACUUGGUAGAAAAUCAAUUAGACAAGAAAAUAAAAGUAUUUAGAUCCGAUCGAGGUUGAGAAUAUUUAUCUGAUGAGUUCAGAAAAUUAUGUGAUGAAAAAUGAAUAGAAAGACAAUUAUCUAUUCUAUAUACUCCUCAACAAAAUGGUGUUGCAGAGAGAAGAAACAGAACCCUACUGGAAAUGGUUAGGUCCAUGAUGGCGCACGCUAACUUACUUAUCACUUUUUUGGAGUGAUGCGUUGUUAACAGUUGCCUGCAUACUUAAUCGGGUGCCUUCCAAAUUAGUUAUUUCCACUCCAUAUAAGUUAUGGAUAGGUAGAAACCGGACUUAAGUUUACUUAAGCCAUGGGGUUAUGCUACCUAUACUCAUAUGUCCUCUCACAAGUUUGGGAAAUUGAGUCCCAGAUAAAAGUAGAGUAUUUUAAUGAGAUACUCCGAACACUCGAAAGGAUAUGUGUUCAUAGGUGAGCAGGAAAGUGGGAGAAUAACUGAAUUUUGAAUCACGGGAUGUCACAUUCUUAGUGGAUGAAUUUCCUUAGAGGGGCGAAAUAGGGGAAGAUUACUUCCUAUUUGAAACCUUGGAUCAAGAUAAUGAUAUUAGUGGAGUUCAUCCAAGUGGGAGUAAUAUGAGAUGUGAUGAAUUGAAUUCAAUUUAUUCUCAAUUGCAACCACCUGAUGUGACGACAUCAUCAUUACCUAAUCCAAGUGGGAGCAUAAUUGGGAAUGAUGUGCUAAGUGUACAAUCUCCCAUACGGUGAACAAGUCGCCAAAGUAUUCCCCGUCGAUGUUUUGACAUUGAAAAGGAAACUUUUAUGGUUGCUCCGCAAGAUGAGGAUGAGCCGAGAAAUAUUAAUGAGGCUCUUAAUUGCCCUAGUAAGAAAAAAUGGAUUAAUGCAAUGGAAGAGGAAAUGGAGUCAAUGAAGUCAAACCAAGUCUGGGAACUGGUUGAUCUUCCAAAAGGAUGCAAAGCCAUUGGGAACAAGUGGGUUCUCAAAAUAAAGCGAAAGGCUGAUGGCUCGAUAGAAAGGCAUAAGACUCACCUUGUGGCGAAGGGGUAUAAUCAACAGGAAGAUAUUGAUUAUGAAAAUACAUUUUCUCCUGUAUUGAGAUUUACCUCGACUCGCAUAAUUCUGGCAAUAGUGGCUAGUCUGGAUCUUGAGUUACAUCAAAUGGAUGUAAAGACUGCUUUCCUCAAUGGAGAAUUAGAGAAAUAAAUAAAUAUGGAACAACCUGUCGGUUUCAUAGUGAAAGGCCAAGAAGAAAAUGUAUGUCGACUUUGGGGGUCGAUAUAUGGCCUUAAGCAGUCGUCAAGACAAUGAUAUAUACGUUUUCAUAAUGCCAUAAUAGCAUAUGAUCUUACAAUGAUAGAUGAGGAUCAUUGUAUAUAUAUCAAAAGAUCCAAGGAUCAAUUUGUGAUCAUAUCAUUAUAUGUUGAUGAUAUACUAAUUGCCGGAAGCAAUAUGGAGUUGGUUAAUACUGUCAAGAGACAGUUGUCUUCCAACUUUGAGAUGAAUAAUAUGGGAUUGUAAACCCAUAAACACUCCUAUUGCAAAAGGUGAAGGAUUGAGCCAUAGACUGUGUCCAAGGACUCCACAAGAGAAGGAACAAACAAAAUAUGUUCCUUAUGCUAGUGCUGUUGGGAGCUUGAUGUAUGCUAUGAUGUGUACAACACCCAACAUAUGCUUUGCAGUUGGAAUGAUGAAUAGUUACCAAUCCAAUCCAGGUCAAGCACAUUAGAAAGCCGUUAAAAGAAUACUAAGGUAUCUAAAGGGGACUGCUGAUUAUACGCUGAGUUAUUAUGGAAAGGAUCUGUGACUCUAAGGCUAUUCUGAUAUUGAUUGGGGAGGAGAUUUAAAUAAAAGGAAAUCUACCUCUGGGUUUGUUCUCUUACGAAUAAUGGCACCAUAUGUUGGAGCAGUAAGAAACAAAAGUGUAUAGCCUUGUCCACGAUGGAAACUAAGUUCGUGACAUUAUCAGCAGCUGUAUAAGAAAAUGUUUGGCUUAAGAGAUUAUUGGAUCAUUUAGGUGUUAUUGGAAGUGCUGCAGAUUUGUUAUUAGUUAACUAUGAUAAUUAAGCAGCAAAAGUGUACACUAAAGAUCCAAAUAUCAUGGCAAGACCAAACAUAUAGAUACCAAGUAUAAUUUUGUCAAGGAUAUGGUUGCACGAAAGGAUGUGAACUUAGAGUACAUACUACGCAUAGAAUAGUUGCAGAUCCUAUAACAAAGCCAAUACCUAGAGAUGUGCUUUGUGGCCAUGUGAAAUCUCUAGGACUGCAUAGAAACUGAUGUACUAAAUAUUGUAAUUUCCCUAAGUGUUCACAAUUUGAUGAAUUUGUGUUUUCAUCAUUAAUGCCUAUGAAUCUUUGUUUGAUCUUUAUGCAUCUUAAUGCUUAGUGCAUUAUUUUAAGUUGAGAAGUAUGUCGGACAGAUAUAAGAUUAGCCCACUCACACGGGUAAUCGCCUCUAUUUACUGUGUGAUAAAUAGAGAUGAGACUGUUUUUAAGCUUAUUAUCUAGGUGAUAAUCGAGAGCUCAAGCUUAAAACACGCAUGUCGCCUUAACUGAGUGUUAAGAUGAGGACAUAAUACUUACUAUGUCCGAAAGUAAAAUAACCCACAUAUUUUACUUUAUCUGUCUAAAAUGCCAGAUGUGAGUUCUGAUGAAUUUUGUGAUUGAGUAGAUACGUGAACUCAAGUUAGACAUUAGGUAUGUUUGAACUAUCAUCUGUACGGUAUUGAAAAGUGUAGACAUACGCUCCAUGGUAAAGGAGUUAAUACCGUAAUACGUAUUUCAUACUACGUAUGCAUGAGACGACCAAUAAGAGUGGCAAAAAGUUUGAUCUCAACUUUUAUGACGUGUGAGACUCUUGAGGAAAAGAGUUCCUCAAUUUUUUUUAGUCCCCUCAGGACUCUUACUUAUUCUCAAGAUUUCUAUUUAGUGUUUGCUAUCUUAGGGUGUUGCCAAUGGUCAUGUGAUGAUUCGAUCUAAUGGGGCAUUUCUAGAAAAGCAAGCUGGACUGAAAUUGAGAGUUUGAAGGAAAGAGGAAGAUCGAUUUUGGAGAAUCACAUUAUAGUUUUGUAUUCACUGGUCGACCAAUUAUAACUGUCUUUGUGAUAAUUAUAAUUGUGAAUACAAUAUAUAUCAUUGUUUAAAAGAGAUUAAGAGAGAUAUAAAUGUGAUCGAUCGAUCUAGGGUACUGCAUACUAAAUCUACUCGGAGUGUGACGCCCAUUAAUGAGCUGCUAUAUAUUCCUAACAGAUGUAUAGCAACGAGCUCUCAAAGUAUGCUGGUCGCACGGAUUAUUCACCGGUAUGAAUGUUGAAGAGAGGUAAAGAGAAUAUUGUUCGGUCCACCAUGUUAAGAGAGAGUCUAUGAUGGAUUAUUCUCUGAUGGGCCUGAGUAGGGCCUGUCCGCCCAUGUUGGUUUUGGACCACCAUGUGCGAGUGGGAGAUGAAGGCUUUAUUGAUUUGGGCUUAAGACCCAUCCGCCAAAGUUGGGCUAGAAAGCCCGGCCCACGGGAAUAAGGCCCGUGGAAAGAGGGAGGUAUAAAAGGGAGGAGAGAGAGAGAAAAACAACCGUUGGUAAAUUGUACGUACACUGUUUUUCUCUCAACGCUCUCUCCCUCUCUCCCGUUUUCUCCAAAAGCGAAACAGUGAAGCAAUUGAAGGAGUUUGCCUCCUCGGAUCGAACAAGGCUCGAUUUCUCUUCCUCUAACGGCGUCGGUGUCUAAUAUGUGGCAAUCAAGGUACGCUCGAAUCCGUGGUGUGCUUUACGAUCGGUGAUACGUGUCGUUUUCUUGGGCUUCGCUUCCGCAUUGAUUUAGGGGUUCGAUUUAGUGUCGAAUCCGGUAUUUCGGGGAUCAGUAAUUCCCAACAGUAGUGAAACUAGAUAUUGUUUCUGUUUGCUACCUUGUUCAGAUUCAACAGAGAAGGCAAAACUUCACUGGGCCAUAUGCUUCCGCAUUAUCCUCGAGGUCACAAGAGGGCUGCUCUGCCUCCAAUGCAAUUCUUGCCCCAGGGUCAUACAUCAGGUUUUGAAAGAGAGCAACAUUCUCUUGGAUGAAAUGAUGAAUCCCACGAUUUCAUAUUUUGGGCUGGCACAGAUAUUCGAAGGCACUCAAGAUUUGGUUAAUUAAUACUCACGAAGUUGUUGGCACACUGUAAGCUUUCUAUCGCCCCUCUUAAGAGUAGAUACUCAUGAGGCAAUUUGUCACCUAGACAGCAGAUUAGCCAUAUAAUGCGCUCACCUUUCCCCUCGUGCAUGUUCCUACUUUUGUCCUCUAAUAUGACCGAGAAAACUCCUCCAUGUACAUCCAAUGGUCCAAUAAGUCAGCUCGCUCCGAGGUAAUUGUAGACCAGCGCUGAUAUACAAAUGCUAAAAGGUACCAGAAAAACAGUACUUGUCGAGUUGGAAGUAUGAACCUCCAAUUUUCUGACCUCUCGUGCACUCAUCCUAGAGUCUAUGAUUCUUUGUUUGAACCAGAUAUCGUGAACCCUUCACAUGUAUGAUCGUAUACCUUUAUCAUGAGUAUGGCAUCCUAUGUACAAAUAUAACAUGACCAAGCCAUACAGCGGCUACAUGUCUCCAGAGUAUGUCAUGGAUGGGAAAUUUUCUGAAAAAUCAGAUGUUUAUAGCUUUGGAGUACUAAUAGUGGAGCUGAUCAGCAUCAACCUGUCUAUCGGAAAGCUUUCCUCAGGACUUUACCUAAGCAAAAGCCUAAUGAACCGGCCUUGAUUCAAGUUGGAAGACUGAUAUGAUCAAUCCAACCACUUCCACCAUUGCCAUGACAUAGCAAGGCUUGGGCUAGCAGAUCCUGCAAUUUGUGCCGGGUCAAAACUCAUAAUAGGCAGCUGAAAUAAUUCAAUGAGGAGAAUAAUAGGCAGAGCUAUGAUGCCAAAAUCACAACGUCUCACUGCUAACAAGUCCGUCCGUUUAAGAAAAACUCAUCAUUCUCGUAGAAGAGAUUGGCGCAACAUAAACUGAACCCAAUUCAGGUAACUGAUGACCGUACUCACUUUUUCUCCCUCCAUUUCCUUAUGUUCAUGUAUAUCACUUGGCAAUAGUUACAAGGAUAUCAUCUUGGUUUACAUUAGCUUGCCUUUUAACUUUCGAUCGUGACAUUUUGUACAGUGAAAAAUGGUUGAAACCUGAAAUUUGUAAUUAGAACUCGGAGUAGGAGGAGCACUCGCCUAGAACUGGAUGCAUGCACACUUUUCCAUUGAAAAUCACGGUCGGUCUCGAAAGAGAAGAAGGUCAAAUAGCCUAAAUUAAAGAGUCGAGCUUUGUUAUUUCCCUUCAUAUAUUUGGGAUUAUUUGCUGGUUAGCGCAGUUACUUGCAACGGGAGAUGUGAAAAUGUAUUAAGCUCUAAAUUCAUCUCACUUCCCAGGGCUAUUUCAGUUAUGGUGUAAGGUCAUAUCUAGUCUGUUGAAUUGACUGUCAAGACAUGGUGCAUAAAGCAGGAAGCAAGUGUUUUUAACAUUCAUUCGCAAGCAAAUAUUUAUUCUGUCAAGUACAAUCCAGGAUCUAGCAUUCAUGCUGCGGUGCGUAUCUGCUUUUCUCAGUCUAUGAUUUAACCAAUGGAUUUUCCACUUUAAGACGUGAAAUUCUGGACAGAUCAACGAACCUUGUGCACUUUUGAGUUAAGUUGAGCUUGUUAACCUGACUUGACAUUUACCUUAAAACAUGCUCGAGAAAGAACAUCUUGAUACUAUACACAACCGGGAAGUAAGACAAGCUCCACUGGUUAUACAUAUGCGUCGUCAUCAUAGAUUGUCGGAGAUAUGGGUGAUGGCUCAUCUCUCAUAGUCAUAUCGUCAGUGUUUCCACAAAGGUCAUCGCCAAUCCUGCUGCUCGGCACUAGUUCGCUUCUUCUGACAGGAAUGAGACCGAUGAGGAUGCAAAGUUCGUAUUUUACUUGUGCCGGCAUUGGAAGAACGAUAGCGCAGCUGCAAGUAGUCAGGGAACGGUCAAGGUACUCGUCCUUGCGGCCCGAAUGAUCAGCUUAACGAAGAAAAUAAUAGGAUUGAAUCAUGAAGGUUGCGCAGCAUGUUAUGCUGAGCUGUUAGGCAUCAAAUAAACGCUGGAACAUGAUUUUAAUGUUAAGUCUCUAACUUCUGUUUUGAAUAGAGGAGAAUCGUUCCUAGCUUCCCAAAAAUGUUUGGUUAAUCAUCAUCAUUAGUGAAGCGAUACACUCUAAUAUGGGCCAGGCCGGGCCGGACCGAAUUCGACGGGGCCUGCAGUACUUCCUUGUUUGUUGUCUCCAUUUGUGACUUCGACGUAUUUGCCCUUCCAAUCGCGAGGUGCGUAAGCAGUUCGGCUCGAGAAGACGAAGAAAGCAAAACAGCAGCAUACGGGUGGCCCCAUCGAGCCGUAUCCGGAUCCAGAAACUUUUUCGGCAGAUCCAAACGGAACUCGUGUGGGAAAAGCAAAGGACCCUUUUAGAAAAGGUGUCGACCGUCCGUGCAACCUGUGAUUCACACGGAUCAUCCGUGCUUCUCACUGAUCGAUCGUUGUCGACGCACCAUCCACCGACGUAGAAAAACACGACACGCCACGAUCACUUCGACAGGUCGCAAUCCGUCCACCUACUCAAGACAUAAACCAACCAUUGCCAAAGCCACUUUCCGGGCGAGGUAGGCCUAGUCCCGGAAACACGAGCCACCAGAAUUUGUUGCCAUCUCGUGCACGAUUCAUUUUUAUAGUCGACGAAACUAUGCAUGAUCUAUAGUGAUCGUGAUAAACGUAAGAAGCGUUUAUGCUUUAGGAUAUGCUCAUGCUAAAAAGAUUCUUUAUGACUGAUGGACCUACAUAAACAAGUCUAGAGGAAUGGAAAGUUCACGUUGGUAGCAAGAUGUUAUGUCUAUGGUAUCUACACCACUAUCGUUGUUAAAUUAUCUUGACAAAAAUAGUUGGUCAUAUCCACGAAGCAACGUACCGCAUGGAUAUUAAUAGGUGGACUAUGUGAAUAUCAACAAUGCUACUUAGUGGAUGUCAACUAAGCUACUGCAUGGAUAUUUCAAGGAUUACAUUUGAAUAUCAGCGAGGCAAACACUGGAUAUUUGCAAGCAACUACAUGGAUAUUAGCAUAAUUUGCACUUGAAUAUUAGUAAGCGUUGAAUAUUAUGACAGUACUACAAUGGCUGAAUAUCAAGAGACCACUUACUCUACCAACAGCGACAAUCUUAUCACGAACUUCAAAACUAUUACUUUCAGAUAAUUCAUCUCAUCCCAUGAUAACUUUUAUGAUCUAGUAUGGAUUCCAUUUUUAGAAGAUAUUGAUUUAAUUUCUAUCUUAAGAUUAUAUUUGUGAUAUAAUUAAUCAUGCAAAAUAUCUUAAUUGAUUGAAAAUCGUCCCAAAGACAAAAUUCUUUCCUUAAUUGAGGAACUCCACAUAUGGAAACUAAAAUUUAACUGUAUUGACGAUUAAAUUGAUGGGUUCUUUGAUUGUUCCAUCUCAAAGUCUAUCCUAAUCUUCUUGUCAAUUUUCCAACGACUAGUUUGGAAUCCUCAUGAAAAUUAUCCAACGAGAUGUUCUGGAUGACAAUGAGUAUUAAAGAAGUCCAACGCGCUGAAGAGAGAGCAAUCUACGAUUAACAAUUCCAAAGUUCAAAAGAGCUUCACAUUGUUUCAUUGUUUUUAGUGAGAUUACAAAUGUAAUCAUUUGAAAAGUGUUGGCAAUGACUUUGGUGCAAGAAAAUGAGUCAUAUCAGCUUGUAUAUAGGCAAUACAACCUCGAGGAGAAAAGCUUAUUAGAAUCCACAAAGCUAUCGGUGUGGGAGAGUAGAUAUAGGUCUACACAAAGCUGAAUCACUAUAAAGCACUCUGUGCAAAGUCUUCUAUCUCUUUGAUUAUAUUUAUGUAUUACUCAAUAGAAACAACACACUCAACGAUCUAAGUACCACUAGAAUUUGAUCAUGUUCAUAACGACUCUCGUAGUCACACCCAUAUCCACUUGACUCUAGCAUUUAUUUGUCAAGUUUUAUAAAAUCACAUAUUCACACCCUCUAGAUAAUACUAUUAGCCACUUCAGAAUUGAUUUUCUCGAUGGCCAAGUAGCUACAAAAGCACAACCAUGUCACAGCGGUGCGCCCCUCAGGACAGCGGGCUUCACUAGCAUGGCCGAAAUUUCCUCCUCAGCAGCUCAUGCACAUAAUGAAGUUGGAAGAUGAGCUCGGAGCUUUCACAUUCGUAGGCACGAUACCCAUUUGCCGAACAAGCAGCCUUGGUCAUAACCAAGCAAAGGGAUUUUUCACUCUCUUAAUGAUAACAAUUGUUCUUAUGUCGACUCAAUAAAAUUGAACUGAACAGAUUCGAAUUCUAUUAACUGAUAGAAUGUGAGAUUUUGUGAGACUAUUUCAAAUUGUUCUAAAAACUUAAACCAUUCAUCUAAUAGUUUAAGUUAUUAGAAUAGUUGACGGUAACCCCAUAAAAUCUCACAUAAUAUCAGAGCAUGAGCUUUUGAGUUCAAAUUUUUCCCAUUAUACUGAUCCAGUUCCAUUAUAAAUUUUUCAGUUCAGUUUGGUGUCGAGACAAUCAAAACCAAACUGAGUUAAGGAAUAUUCGGUUCUCAAACUUCACUUUCAAAGCCAGCCACCAGCCAUAUUAAAAAUUGGUGGACCUGCUUGAGUUGUCUAUAGUGCCGCUUUCGUCCCACUUUCCCCGAAUCGACAUCGUUAAUUAAGAAAAACUAGUCUCUCCACCCGUCAAAUUCCAAUCAGAUUAAUCUAUCAAUUUCCUAAGUUUCCAGGAAUUGUCCUUGGGACCAUGUUUUACUAUACGCCGCGUCAUCCGUCAACUAAAGUUUAGGACAAAUUCAUGUACUUCUCGUCCCCUUUUCCCCUUACGCUUUCCCUGAUUUAGCAAUUUUUCUCUUCUUUUUUUAUAAGUAAAAGGGCGAGGAAGGGUACUCAGAGCAAUUAUCCCUAUGACUCAAAGAAAAUAACUCAAAUGAUCUUUGAAUGUGAUUCGAUGUGCAAUGCGAUUUCUUAAUUUCUAAUUUGUUCAAUGUGAUCUCCAAACUUUUAGUGCAUAUUCAAUGUAGUUCCAAGACUAUGAAAAUAUUCGACAUUGUCCUACACUUGAAUUAACGCAAGAACAAUAUUAAAUGUUUCAUAUAAUUUAAGGACCUGACGGAACAUGUACAUUGAGUUAAAGUUCAAUAAUAAAAUACUAUGGAUCAUAUGACACAUCGAAUCAUUAUACCAAUCCAAUUCCAUUAUAAAUUUUUCGGUUCAGUUCGGUGCCGAGACAAUCAAAACCAAACUGAGUUAAGGAAUAUUCGGUUCUCAAACUUCACUUUCAAAGCCAGCCACCGGCCAUAUUAAAAAUUGGUGGACCUGUUUGAGUUGUUUAUAGUGCCGCUUUCGUCCCAUUUUCACCGAAUCGACAUCGUUAAUUAAGAAAAACUAGCCUCUCCACCCAUCAAAUUCCAAUCAGAUUAAUCUAUCAAUUUCCUAAGUUUCCAAGGAUUGUCCUUGGGACCAUUUUUUACUAUACGCCACAUCAUCCGUCAACUAAAGUUUAGGAUAAAUUCAUGUACUUCUCGUCCCAAUUUCCCCUUUCACUUUCCUCGAUUUAGCAAUUUUCUUUUUUUUAUAAGUAAAAGGGCGAGGAAGGGUACGCAAAGCAAUUAUCCCUAUGACUCAAAGAAAAUAACUCAAAUGAGCUUUGAAUUUGAUUCGAUGUGCAAUGCGGUCUCUUAAUUUCUAAUUUGUUCAAUGUGAUUUUCAAGCUUUUAGUACAUAUUCAAUGUAAUCCCUAGACUAUAUGAAAAUAUUCAACAUUAUCCUGCACUUGAAUUAACGCAAGAACAAUAUUGAAUAUUUUAUAUAAUUUAAGGACCUGACAGAACAUGUACAUUGAAUUAAAGUUUGAUAAUAAAAGACUAUGAAUCAUGUGACACAUCGAACCAAAAAUCACAAACCAUUUGUGCUAUGAUCCAUAAAAUUCGCCAAGAGGGCUUCACACUCGUCACGGGAAUGUUCAAUCGAAAGGCCCCUUCCCCCGAUCCUUAUAUGAACGGACCCACCACCACAGAAGCCCCCAUCGACGUGUCGAUAUUCAAAUGCUCGAAAAUACAAAUUGAUCUAAAAUUCAUUCGUGACUUGGCUCGACUUCCUUCAAGAGAAAGGGGUUGGGUUUCCAAAUCUCCCCUCGAAAGCCCCACCAAUGUGCCAAAAAUUUAGGGACGACAUAUGCUCGAAAAUUCAAAUUGAUCAAAGAUUCGCUCGUGACUUGCCUCGAAAUCUCUUUCGAGGAGGGGCCCGGGUUUCCGGGUCCUCCUCCCCCAAUUUUAGCAAGAAAAUUUCGACGCUCUUUCCUUGCGUCUUCCUUGCUGCCCACGCCAAAAGCGCGCGAGCCCGACUUCCGCGUAGAAAAUAUAAAAGGUCAAACGGAUCAGUCCCGAAACAACAUCUCCUUUCGCCUAUCAAAUCCCUAAAUUCCAGACGCCUUUCUCCGCUCAAAGAUCCCGAUCCCCGAUUCCCGAUUCCGGGAAUCGAAUUCCGGGAAAUCGAACCUUUGCCCACCGGCGAUCGGCUCCUCGAUUCCGACCUCCCGUUUUAAAUUUCCCUUUUUGGCGCGAAAUGCCCAUGAAGCUCGACGUCCCCAACGGCGGCGCCGCGGUGGCGGCGGCGGCGGCGACGAACGGGGGGGAGGCGGAGAGGGAGAGGGAGAGGGACGGGGACGAGCUGUUCGUGCCGCCGCUCAACUUCGCGAUGGUCGACGGCGGCGUGUUCAGGUCGGGUUUCCCCGACGGCGCCAACUUCAGCUUCUUGCAGUCGCUCGGGCUCCGGUCCGUCAUGUGAGUGCUGCGGCGACGUCGCCGGCGGCGGCGGCGGCGGCUGUUUCUUCGGGGGCGGUUUGCGCUCGAUCGUUUCUGUGUGUGUCUUGAAUGUGGCCUGAUUGUGGUUGUGGGUUUUGUGGGAUUGUUGCAGAUGUUUGUGCCCCGAGCCUUAUCCGGAGGGGAACAGCGAGUUCCUGGCGGCCAAUGGGAUUCGGCUUUUCCAAUUCGGGAUCGAGAAUUGCAAGGUAAAUGCUCCGGGAUGGCCCUUUGGUUUUCCCUUUCUCAGGUGACGGUGACUUGGUGAGUGGGGAUGGAAUUGUCGGAAUCGGAAUUUAAUCGUUGGAUGUGAAUUGGCGAUUGGGGAUAGAAGUUAUAACCGUUGGAAUCUGUGGUUGUUGACGAUAAUGGCUUCUUUCGUAUCACUUUGUAUAGGAUUCUUAUUCAACUCUAGCAAAGUGAUGUCACAAUUUUGGAGAUACCCUUUUUCCCGUUUUCGAAUGACUAUGAAGUUUGGUUACUUGAUGCGAUGCUAAGAUAUGCAUCAAAUUUUUAUUUUUUAUUUUUUAAAUGGUGUGGUCCGUGGGUUUUUGUCAAUGAAUUAGCUGCAGAGUCUUCUUAAUGCUUCUGCUUGCAUGUUGCAUGGAGCGAGGAUAGCCUAACCUUCACUUAAUGUGGUUUACUAUCAUAGACUAUCUUAUGCCACGUUAGAGGCUACUUUUUAAGCAUGAGCUGCUUUUGUCCUUGACUUGUGUUCGUAUGGAAAAUAAUCUACUCGUGGCUGUUUACUCACAUGAUCAUGUGCUAUGCAAUCAACUUUUUAAGAUAGGACGGCUACUGGGUAAUUGAAAUUAUUGCCCUUAUCUCUUUGCAAAAAGAAAAGCGUACACAGCAGAGAUGACAACAAAAUACUUUAUCUGUGAAUCAUCCUGCCUCCAGUGAAGCUGCCAAAAAGUAAACUGCCCAUCCUGACUAUUCAAAGAUGGAUGCUGGGCUAGCUGUUGGUAGCCCUCAGCCUCUGAUGUAACAAGGCGAAGAAUAAUGGCCUUAAGCAUUGUUGAGCAGGUGUGCUUUCAUAAGAAACCAGUACUGCUCGUUUUCUUGCACCUCGGACACUUUGAGUGCAUCUGAUAUCAGUGGUGUCAUGCUUCGAAGGAUCUUACUGGUCAUAGAAUCGUAAUCAAUCUUCUUGCCAGACAAUGAUAAUCCUGUUCUUCUGUGCCUCCUAAACAAAUGUCCUGUGACUUGUGUUUUGCUGCUAGGAAUUUGAAUCCAUGUCAAGUGGAUGCAUUCAUAUCAGAAGUGUUCACAAGACUCGAGAAUACGAAGUAAAUUGCUUCAAUUGCUUUCUGUAAUUUGCACUUGCUUGGGGUGUGAUAAAAUCUCUUUUAGUGGCAGAUACACAUGGCUUUCCCGUGUUUCAAUUUAUGGAUGACCUUGCUUUUUAUGAGUCCUUCGCAUACCAGCUGGAACUACAGAUGGUGCUAAUAUUAGGUUGAACCAAACCCUGCCAUGGGACCUCACUAGUGUUGAGAAUCUGAGAUGUGAAACAGGUGGACAAUAUUAGAUAAUAAAAAAUAAAUAUAUAAAAUGCAAGUUGCAUCAUUGCAGGGUGUUGGGAAAUUGGACAGCAAAUAGAUUUGGUUUGUAACAAGCCAUUGAGCUAAGAGAACUGAAGAUUGUGAUUAGGGGGUAUCAAACAAUAAUUUCUGGUCAGACGAUGAGGCUUGUUACUGUAUAUUGUAGCAGAUUCAUGCUACUUCAUUUAUUGAAGUAGUAAAAUUCUCUUGCUCCAGCAAAAAGAAGAGAAAAAUAAACAACAAAGCUCUUUUCUGAAUCUUCUACAUGAUAUGUACAUUAUAGCUUUCACGUUUUUCUAAUCUACGUCAACAUUUUAAGUCCUCAUGAGAUGAUUAGUAUAUAGAUAUACAUGGCUGUAGUAGAAAAAUUGCAUUUUAUUUCAAAUAAAAUGAUAUAUUUGGUCCAAGAGUGUCCUAACAUACUGUAACAGUUCUUAUAAUUGAUCAAUGUUAUUCUGUACAGGAACCUUUCAUCAAUAUUCCAGAUGAAGCAAUUCGUGAAGCGCUGAAAGUACUCCUUGGUAUAACUAAAUAUAUGAUGUGACUUCACAUUAUGAGUGGUUAGCUUGCCUGUUGGACAUUUGCUCAAGUAUUUGGUUCUUUCCUUGUGGUCGCAGAUGUAAGGAACCACCCUGUCUUAAUCCACUGCAAACGUGGGAAGGUACCCCUCGUUUCCUCUUUACCCAUUAUUUUCUUGAAGAUUGAGUUAUAAGCCCAUGUUGACCAACGAUCUGCUCAUCAAUGGCUUGCAGCACCGAACUGGUUGUCUUGUGGGAUGCCUAAGAAAGUUACAGAGGUGGUGUCUGUCUUCUAUCUUUGAUGAGUACCAGAGGUUUGCCGGCACUAAAGCUAGAGUAUCGGAUCAGAGAUUUAUAGAGCUGUUCGAUAUCUCAAGCUUGAAGCACUCGCCAAUGUCAUUUUCGUGUUUAAAAAGAUGAUGAUGUUGAUAUUUUCAGCUGUUGCUGCCAACUAUCAAGGGUUCAAAAGGAGUGUCCAAGUUAGUGAAGUCGAGUCACAGUAUGUUUCCUAUCUUUAAUACUUUCAACACUGUCUUCAGGGUAGAUUAGUGUGCAAAGUAGAAAAUUUUAAUUUUUGGGGACUAUUGGGUCGAUAUCUGGGAGUAGAACGGGCUGCAAUGCGAACGUUGUUGUUAACUGCUCUCUGUGUAUUAUCUUUUCCAUUUGUUCAUCAGAGUCACUGACUAUGUUAGUUGAUAUGUCAGCUUCUCAUUUCGACAAGAGAUCAUGGCAUUAGUUGGGUUAGUUGGGCAUUUUGAGCUGUGUAGCACUUGCCAAUCUCAUUUUCUUUUGCUGGAAAGGACCAUGCGUGGGCCGGCUUUCGAGCCGUCGCUAGCAACCAACCACCGCGGUAGCAAAAAUUGGGUAUCAUAGUUGUUGCCUUCCGAGAGUAGCACAGGAUGCAAAGUAGAUGUUCAUAGCAUGGAUGAGUGGGUGAACUUUAUCUGAGUAGUGGUAGUGGUGUAUCCUGUAAUUCACUCUGAGCCUAGUGGUGUUUUCUGUAAUUCACUCUGAACCUUCUUCUCAAUCCUAUCAUAGUUGGUCGUGUGUCAGAUAAAGCUCUACUCAUAAUGCAGCCCCUCCACGCAUUUUCUGCAUGAUGGCGACAUCAUGAUUCGAGGUGCAGACUGAUUGACUUUUUUUAUCUGCAAGUUGGAGGACCACUCUCUGAAGAGAUUAGACAUUGGUGGGGGGGAUCACCCUCACCUCCCCCAAGCCUUUGCCCUUCCCCAUUCGUAGUGCGGCCUCUGUUCUGAUGAGGGAGCACUUCUCCAAGUUGGAUUUUCCUGUGAUCUGCACUCCACGGAGCACGUGACCCCACAUGUAAUCACGUGACUUCUGGCUUGGGGCAAACUUGCCACCGAAUCUCGCUGCUGAGCAGCGGAACUGUCGAGGCAAAAAGAGAUUGUGCAUCGUACACAGCAUCGAGUUCCUCUCUUCUCGAUGAAGUUUUAUUAUAUAAAGGUUGAGGCCAAUAAGUCUGUCUAGGGGCGGAUGAUGGGAUCGUAAGGUGUGACGCUAAAGAUUAUAGCAUGCCGUGCCAAAUAAUGCGAUGGACUGCAAUUAAGUAUAUAAUUGGACGAAAUAUUUCGUGGGUCAGUAUUGAUAUGAGAUUUUUUAUGACUUUUAAAUUAGCAUUAUUGUAUUUUGACUGAUAGAGAAAAGAUGUUAUGGGGCCCGGAAAAAUAAGGUUCUUUGCACGAAAAGAAUUAGGUGGAGAUUGGGUUCGUUUCCAACCAGUCGAUGCUUUACCUAAAUGUCGCCAUUGCUGUCAGAUAAUUUAGCAUUAAAUCACGCAAUCAUUUAAUAGCUUUUCAGAAUUCUUGCUCUGACUUUUGGCAUGGUGCCAUUGUUGGUUUUCAUUUGGUGCAGCUGUUAAAUUGCCGCCUUUGGAUUUUUUUAUGAAAAGCACGACAAGUGCCCCCGGUCAAAGGUUCGAAACCGUCUCUAGGGGCGGGUGGGCACAUUGGUCAAAAAAAGAGAUCUAAUUGCUUCUAUUUUUUUUUGUCAAAUAGAGAGAUCUAAUUUUCAUAGAUCUAUACUAUGUAUUCUUUUCAGACAUCGCACAUAUUCGAUUGGGGGCAUGGGCGGUCCCUUGUUCCUUCAACUUUGCAUUGGAAUCACGCUUUCCAAACGUCGAUAAUUUCGGCUGUCCCCUUAAAAUUCGCCGCCCAUUGUUUUUUGUCUUCUCCUUCUUUGCAUUUAUUCGUUCCUUUUGAUCCACAAAAUUGGUCUGCGUGUAGAUCAGAUCAUGAUGCUGUCCUUUUCAAACUCGAAAAAAAAUCAGAAAAAUGCGGUCCACAUGGCUUCAGAUCUACGAAAUAUCGAGACAGAUUUAGAUAUCGUUCACGCCGCUUAUUAUCUAUGAAGAUUUCAAAUUGACAAGCACGCCACUUAAAAUCCAUAUCUAAAUUGCUAAACGUUAGAAGUUUAUUUCCUCUUACACCGGGCUAAGCCCAUCUCUUUUAAUAUACAUACAUAUACGUAUGCAUACGAUGCUUAUACGUAUAUUUACUUAAUCAAUUUCGGUUUUGUAAUCUAGCAUUUAUAGCUGCCAAAGAUGUUGCCGCCUUGGCACCAUCAAUGCUUGUCGUCUAAUUAAUGCAAAAGGUUCUCCCAAGGCACCCGUGACAGCUUUGGCGGAAAUAACAAGGCAGAUAUUGCUUUCCUUUCUGUACGAAGAAAAUGACGAAUAAUUCAUAAAUUUUAAUUCAAUUUUACACUAUACACCCCGAUUUUUUUAUUUAUUAAAUAUGGUCUCGAAUUUUAGUCCAAUAUUCAAUGUUAUUUCAGAACUUUUAAUAUAUUCAGUGUAAUCCUUAAUAUUUUUGUAUAUGUUCAUUUUAGUUCAUGAAUUAUAAGAAAAUGUUCAAUAUUGUUCGUGAACUUAAAUUUGUGAAAAUAUAAUAUUUGAUAUUUUUAUAUAAUUUGGACACUAACUUGAAUAUUUACAAAAAAAAAUUAUAAACUAUAUUAAAGAAAAUAGAAAUUUAGAGAUGAUACUAUAAAUAAUCAUGAAUGUCAAACCCAAAGUUUGAACAAAUAGUCCCACCCACGUGAUUCUUGGCCUCAAGUUAGGGGUUUGACUCUUAGAAUCCGCCAAAACUCUUAGAGCAGUUCCCUUACUUAAGCAAGAGGCCAUGGCUAAGUUGCUAGGCUAGUCUCCCUCAAAAUAUAGUCGGUGUUGUGCUCCUAUAAGAUGAGUUAGGCUGGAUCCUUAAUAUAAAAAAAAAAAAUUGAACAAAUAGUCUCAAGAGAUGCCAAAAUGAGCUAACUUUCAAGAUUGAAAUAGACAAAUCACGUGAGUUUUUUUUUUUUUUUGAGCAACAAAUCACGUGAGUUUUCCUAUAAAUAAAUUUUGCCAUCAAAUCAAAUUUCCAUCACCAUAAUCAAUUUCAGCUCGCGCAAUUGGUAUCGAUGUUUUUUUCUCGACAUUAACGCCAUCACGAAAUAAAUACUUUCGAAAUCAAUGACAGUGACAUAUAAUAUAAUCUAGAAAAAUUCAACUUUGGCAGGCGAGAUUUGCAUAAUCAGUUGCGCACUUCGAUGAUGAUUUACGACUAAUGAUCAUAGAAAAUGACGCCAAUGGUAAUUAAUUAUACAUUGGCCCUGCGUAACUUGAGGACUAAUCGUCAAUAAAGAAGACUUAUAUGAGACGCAUUGACAUAAAAUUAAGAACCGAAGGAUUAGUUGUCACGAUCAAGUUUUUUCUUCAGUAAUGGUCAAGAUUCAUUAGUACAAAAUCGAACCACCUCAAACCUACCGUUCCCAAAAAAGAAAAAAAAAAAAAAAAAACUACCGUUCCGACAAAGGAGGCUAGAGAGGAAGGCAGUAAUUGUCACCAUCCUAAAAUCGGGUCAGUCCAACAACCCGGUCAGAUCUAAUCAGCGCAGUAGCACAUGCGGGCACGCAUGCAAGUCCUUGGAAAAACCCAAAAUCCCUAAAAUCUGCACACUCAAGACCUUAGAUUAGUACUUUAGUCACGCGACACGACACGACAUAACAUGUGUCGAAGCGUUGAUAACAUAAAUGGAGGCCAAAUUAGUAAUAUCAGCAGGCUUCCUGGCCCCGUUCCGGGCUCUCCUCAGAUCUGGAAUUCCUUGAAAUGCCUUCCUACAUGAGACUCAUUUAUUCCCGAAUUUGCACUUCAAGUCCGCCUUUGAUCCGACCGCCCCUAGUAGUUUGUUGCGUGGAUCUCCACGUCAGCACCACUUUGGAUGAAGCUGAUAGAUGGUCAAAAAUUAUCAUCGAGUGCAUCGGUCUGGAACUUUUCUUUGGUCUAUUAGCUCAUAAUAUAAAAAUUCACGAGCGUGUGGUUCAAGAUUUUUUUUUUUUUUGGGUAAAGUGGUUCGAGAUUUUUUGCGAUGAUAAAAGCAAGAAAAAAUUACACAAAAUAUAUGAAUUUUGGCUCCCUCGACUUUUAAUUUGUUUAGUAUGAUUUUUGAACUUUGACAUAAUGUGCAAUUUGAUCAAUGAACUUUUAUAGUCCAUGAACUUUUUAUACACGUUCAAUUUAUUCAUCAAACUAUAUAAAAAUGCUUAAUAGGAUACCAUUGAAUUUUUUCAACUAUAUAGUGCAGAGACCACAUUGAACAUAUACCAUAAGUAUAAGGACUAUAUUGAGUUUAAAUUCAUAACUCGUAUUGAACAAAUUGUAUGUUAAGUCAAAAUUGAGGGAUCAUGUAUAUCAAUUAAAGAAAAAAAAAGCUUGAACAUGCUGAGAAUCAUGACCAGAGCAAGUCCUUAAAAGGCUUAUGAGAAAGAAAUAAACGAGAGAUCUUCCAUAGGAUGGGAGAUCCCACAAUGUCGCUCCCUAUUCUUCCCUCCUCGAGAAGAAAAAAAUUGGGGAGGAAUUAAGGAGUCUCAUGAUGAUGAAAGUAAACAUCGCGUCAAAACUUCAGUUCUGGCUACCACUAAGUAAACUGGUACAAUAGCCAAUCGCGCUUGGAGUAAGCGUGAAAAUCUUGCUACAAGCUUGACAAUCUUUCAGUUUCAAGAAUCAAUUACCAAGCGUUGUACUUUGAACAUAUACUAAAAAUAUAGAAAUCACAUUAAAUAUAUACACAAAUUUGUGAAUAUAUUAUACAUUAAGUUAAAGUUCAUGAAUCGUAUUAAAUAAAUUGUAUGUUAAGUCAAAAUUGAUGGAUCAUCUGUAUCAAUUUUUUCUGAAGUGAAAAAGGAAAAAGGAGGCUAGAACAUGGUGAGAACCCUACUGGUAACAUGCAAGCUGUCACAAUGUACCCUAUCUACAUAAACCGGGUGCGGAUGCCAGGUUGCCUCCCCCCCACCACACAUCAUGCACCUAACCCAUACCCUCUCUCUAUCUCUAUCUCCUCCCGUCAAGAAGAAGGAAGAAGACGAAGAAGGAAGAAGCAAUAGCGGAAUUUUGGAUGAAGCUGAUAGAUGGUUAAAAAUUAUUAUCGAGUGCAUCGAUUUGGGACUUUUUUUUGGGUCUAUUAGCUCAUAAUAUGAAAAUUCACAAGCGUGUGGUUCGAGUUUUUUUUUUUUUUUUUUGUGACUUAGGAACCCCGUAUAGCCGGUAGCCGAAGAGUAAACUUUGGAGGACAUGUAAGUGGGAGGACCUACCACUCUCGGCACCCACUUAAGACUCAAAGCGACCCAAACCAUAACGGCCACCAAGGCAAUGGUGUGGUUCGAGAUUUUUUUUUUUUUUUUUUGUGACCCAGGAACUCCGUACAGUUGGCAGUCAGCGAGUAGACCUGAGGGGACACGUAAGCGGGAGGACCCAUCACCCGGUAGCUGGCGAGUAAACCUGAGGAGACACAUAAGUGGGAAGACCUACCACCCCGACAUCCCACUUAAGAUUUCAAGCGACCGUGAGAGGAUUCGAAUUCCUCCCUUUUGUGAGGGGGAAAGAGCUCAAAUUAUCGCGGCUACCAAAGCGGUGGUGUGGUUUGAGAUUUUUCGUGAUGUUAAAAGCAAGAAAAAAUGACACAAAUAAUUUAUGAACUUUGAUUCAACUGUAAUGCAGUUCCUUAACUUUUAAUUUAUUCAGUAUAAUUCUUGAACUUUGACCUGAUCCAUGAAUUUUUGAUUUAUUUAAUGUGACCCAUGAACUUUUAAUACACGUUCAAUUUAGUCAUCAAAUUAUAUAAAAAUGUUCAAUAUGAUACCAUUGAAUUUUUUCAAUUAUAUAAUUCAGAGACCACAUUGAACAUAUACCAAAAGUAUAAGGACUCCAUUGAAUAUAUAAAAAAAUUCCGCAAAUAUAUUAUACAUUGAGUUUAAAUUUAGAAAUUGUAUUGAACAAAUUGUAUGUUAAGUCAAAAUUGAUGGAUCAUUUAUAUCAAUUAAAGAAAAAAAAAGCUUGAACAUGGUGAGAAUCAUGAUCUGAGCAAGUCGUUAAAAGGUUCAUGAGAACCAUAUCACAAUGUCACUCCCUAUUCUUCCCUCCUCGAGAAGACAAAAAUUGGGGAGGAAUUAAGAGGUCUCAUAGUGAUGAAGAUAAACAUCACAUUAGGAUUUCGGUUCUAGCUAUUACUAAGUAGGCUGGUAUAAUAGCCAUUCGUACUUGGAGAAGGUGAAGGUAGGUGAAAAUCCUGUUGCAAGCUUGACAGCCCUUUAGGUUUCAAGAAUCAACUACUGUACCUUAAAUAUAACCAAAAAUAUAGAAAUCAAAUAUAAUUUUAUGAAUAUAUUAUACAUUAAGUCAAAGUUCAUGAAUCGUAUUAAAUAAAUUAUAUAUUAAGCCAAAAUUGAUGUAUUAUUUGUAUUAAUUUUUUUUUUUGAUAACUUAGGAAAUCUCAUAAGUCGACCAUGAGGGAGCGACUGCAGGGACCCACAUCACAGUAUUCUAAAUAAGAAUUCCUAAUGAUCCUUCUUCCUUUCGUGAGGGGGAAAGAGAUGGAGUUAGCUGGGCGGUGGUUGUAUCAAUUUUUUCUAAAGUGAAGAAAGAAAAAAACAAAAAGAAACUUCAACAUACUAAGGACCCUCUGACGGAUAAGAUGCAAGCUGUCGGGAUGCACACCGUAUAAAAAAGCCACGUGCGGAACGGCUGCCAGGUCGCCUUCUCCCAACCGCACAUCUCCCACCCAACCCCUACUCUCUCUCUCUCUCUCUCUCUCUCUCCAUCAUCUCUAUCUCGUCCUGUCAAGAAGAAGGAAGAAGACGAAGAAGGAAGGUGAACAAGAAGCAAGAAGAAGAUGCAGCAGUAGAAAGGUGAGAUCUCGAUCUCGCACCGAUGCUCUCGAAUCGAACCUGUUCCUCCCCGAUCCCCCCGCAUCGAUUCGCCUGAACCACAAAAAAGUUCGCAUCCUUUUCCCUCCACCGAUUUUACCGGCUCCUUCGAGGCGUAGAGCAGUUAGGGCCUCGAGCAUUCAUGGCGGAACUCGCGGGCGAUCUGCCCGGCGAGCUGGUGACCGAGAUCCUGGACCGCCUCCCGGUCGAGUCGCUGCUCCGGUGCCGCUCCGUCUCCAAGCGGUGGCGCGGCAUCAUCGACAGCCGGGACUUCGUCCGCUCCCACCUCGCCCGCUCCUUCGAGUCCACCGCCAACCUCACCCUCUUCUUCCGCCACUCGUCCAGCCUCUACUGCAUCGACCUCACCUCCCUCCUCCGCCACGGCGGCGUCGCCGAGAUGAACUACCCGCUCAUGUGCUACAGCGACCAGAUCCGCGUCCUCGGCUCCUGCAACGGCCUGCUCUGCAUCUCCAACGCCGCCGACGACGUCGUCGUUUGGAACCCCGCCACGCGGAAGCACAAGUUCCUGCCGUACUCCGCCGUCGAGGUGCGGCGCUCCUCGGUUUUCUCCGUCUGCGUCUACGGGUUCGGGUACGACGAGAGGCGAGACGAUUACGUGCUGCUCAGGCUCGUCCAGCUCGUGACGGAGCCGAUCGAGUCGGAAGUUAGUAUCUACAGCUUGAAGGAUAACGCUUGGAGGCGGCUCAAGGAUAUGCCGUACUCCCUCGUUUAUCCCCGCAAGAUGGGGGUUUUCGUGUGCGGCCAUCUGCACUGGAUAAUGACUCGGGAGCUGGUGUCGGAUUCGGCGAAUCUGCUGGUGGCUUUCGAUUUUCGAAUUGAGGAUUUUAAGGUGGUGGACCAGCCUGAAGGUAUCGAUAAUAAGCUUGACAUGGAUUUGUCCGUCCUGGGAGGGUGUCUCUGCCUUAGCAUUAACGGGAACCACAUGGGUGUCCAUGUGUGGAUUAUGAAAGAGUAUGGAUUGAGAGAUUCAUGGACUAAGUUGUUCUCGAUACCGCAAUCUGAAGUUGCCAGACCUCUUGGGUUUGUCCGGCCGUUGGCUUACGCCAGCAAUGGUCGUCAAGUUUUGGUAAGACAGGACAGUAAGAAUCUCAUUUUGUAUGAUCUAGAGACUAAGGGCAUGGAGAGGGUUGAUAUAAAUGGCAUGCCAAAUUCCUUUGAAGCAGAAAUUUGUUUGAGAACCCUUGUUUCGGUCGAUGAUUAUGGAGGAUACACCAAGAAGAAGCAGCAAGAAGCGGAAGAGAUUGAGAAUAGGACCAAGAGGUAAGUAUUUUGUGAAAAGUAGCAUGUUCUUUUGUGUUAAGAUUCCUCCCUCAUAUACAGAACCUGGUGUAGUGGGUUGCUUGUUCUUCUUCCUUCCUCUGGCAUGUUUGUGAAGAAGGUGAAGCGAAAGAAACUUGUCCAUGGCUUUUGGGAUGGAAAAGGAUAGCUCUUCCUGGAGGAAGAAGAGUUGUUCAAUUGAUGUGAUGGAUAAUCAGAUCCUCCCUACUUCUCCCUAUUUCUGGACGUGAUAACUUUUGGGUGGUUGUGUGAUCUAAUUAAUUUGAAAAUAUGGACAAAGAAUAGAGUAGAGUAGAUGAUUGAGAACUAUGGGGAACUAAUCUGGGAAUCGGGAACUUGGAAUCGAAGACUACGCGCCAAAUUAUGUUUCACAAAACAAAACAGUUGUGUGCUCCUUUAUUUCUUUUUAUUUAUGUUUUUACUGAUAAAAGAAAACAUAAAACGGUUUGAAAUUCCUUACCAAAAAAAAUAAAAAAUUCCAUACCAAAAAAAAGAAAAAACAGUUAGAAAUGAGAAUUUAUGUUAUAUAAGAGGAGUCUAUUGUAUGAUGCAUAUGAAGAAAACACAUUCACAGAGGUUUCUAUGGAAACAAUAGGUUAGAGAACAUCUAUUUAAGAUCUAAAACAGCCAACAAAAAAAAAUGUUUUCCGUUGCUCUAAUUUGUACUGAUAAAUAGGAAUGAAGUUCCCCUUCUUGCAAUUAUUGUUCCAUUCGAUGUGUUAGCUUUAAGACUGCCAAAGUUGAGGGACAAAGAUUUAUGUUGAUUUAUUCUGAUUACGUUCCAUCCAUUGUACCAUUAUGGUUGCUUAAUGAUAGAUUUAAUUGUGAGUCUGUCUCGUCUGCUUUCACUUAUAUAUAGAAUCUGUAACAAAAUGUCUCUGGUAAAUAUUUGGUGACUUGGCUUACUCGCACCUCUCAUCUUUACUACUGUUCUUGAUCGUUUAGUUGAUUAGAAACUGCCUUCCUCCUGUACAGGGAUGACUUCCUCUCGGUGGGCUUCAAGCUUGUUCUCUAAUCGAGACAUAGUUGUGCAAGGGGGUGAGUUAUCUCUAUGAACUGUGAUUACCCUGAUAAAUGACUUCGCUUUACAAAUUUUAUCGAGCAUGAUUUUUUUUAUAAAUUGGACUUUAAUUGAGAAAAUAUCGCUUCAAUUGUGUUGUCAAUUUUUUAAACAAAAACGUCUUGUUUUAGAGGGAGGCAAACAGUUAUUGUAUCUAAGUAAUUUACUUAAGCAUCAGAUAGGGGUUUUAUUUUCUAGAUAGACCAUCUAAUGAUAACACAUGCUGUCUUGUCCCAUCGCUAUGACUUGGUCAUGGAGAAAUGAGACAUGAGCAAAGUUAUAGCUAACUAGUAGGACGGAGAUCUUGAAGGAUUCUAUAGUCAAGUUUUCCUGUCAUUUGUUUUUGCCCUCUAUCUUUCACCUUUUGUUAUGCCUUUUUAACUUGCUAUAUAUUGUGUUUUGUAUUGUUUAUACUUUCAUGUAUGUUUGAAGUCGUUGAUGCAUCCUUGCCGUACUUGCAUUGAAACAAUGUCAGUGUCAGUGGCUUUUUGUUUCUGAACUUCUUUAAGAUGCAAAUAUAACUUUGCGGCAUGUGUAUGUUUGCCUAAAGAUGUUGAUAUUUGUGGGUAACCUUACCAACUUGUCAUAGAUGAAACAUUUUCACUUUUUCUGGUUGCAAUAGUGUAUCUUUGCUUUCUUAUGCUAUGCCCUGAACAAUAAAAGUUCUAUCUGUUACUUUAAUUUACCAUGUCUUUCUUGGGCUCUCUCUGGAUCUAAUCCUAGAACCUAAAUCUAAUCCCCAUAAUACAUAGGUGGGGGUCGAACCUCCCACCUGCCAAACUCCUUGUGGGAUUUGUGAUGAGUGGUUUACAAAUGCAAUGGCUUUAAUUUGCCAUCAUCAUAAAUGGCAUAAGGUUACUAAAUUAUUACUUCAAAUUAUUUCUAAAAGAGUGACGCAUUUAGUAGUUCUUGAAACUUUCAGAAUAGGAGAUUUGUUUUCCUUCCAAUUCAUGAUAUAUCCUAUGCGUGUAAGAGUGUCCUUUAAUAAGUGAAAAACAUAUCUGAAAAACAAUUGCUACAUGCUUUUUUAUGUGUCCAAGGUCUUGCCAUGACUGCCAAUUGGUUUUUCCAGGUGUCACAAACUACUCAGCGAAGGGAAUGCAGUAGAAGUUAAGUUUUUUGCCUCAGUAUUUAGAUUCACGGCUCAACUUUCAACAAUAUGGACCAACGUAUCAUCGGGAAAGGUUUGGCAAAAAAAAGAGAAAAAAAGAUGGAUAAAAAUAACUAUCCGACCUGCGCAACAUACCCCUCCAGUAAGUAGAGAAUACUUUUUCCUUUCCCUGAAGAACAAACUGCUGAAAACUGCUGUCAACAGAAGUAACACAAAGAAGAACUAAUUAGCACAAUUAAGGAAACCUACUAAGCCCGCUGACAAGAAUCAUACAACUUGAAAUUGAAGCUAAGGACCUUGACUAUGGUAUAAUAAGUUGAUCCCAUUGAUCUGCUCCUUCAAGUCCUUGACCUUGGUGAGAGUUUUGUCAAAGGAGGACAUGACCUCCCUCAAUUGAGUCCUCUUGGCACAUGGCUAUCCUCUUGAGCCUUUUCUCCAAUUACAACAAUAGUGGUAACAUCUGUUUCCGACUUUCUCUCAACCACUUCCAACUCUCUCAACCAUGCUCUCUACAACUCGACCUAAUAACAGUUGUCACAAGCAGACACUUGAGAUCACGAACUGUGUGGCAGUUAGGCUCUGAAUGACUCAUUCAGCCCUUAGUAUAGUCAUCUAAGCUCAGCCUUCCCCUGAACUAUUGCUUACUCACUCACUUGGCCCAUCUCAAAUCAUACAGACGAGUGUUUAUACUUGAACUGAUAGUUACUCUUGUAUCGGAAAUUCCAAUCGGCUAGCUUGCCUUUUGACAUCAUUAUCGACACUCCUAUGAAAAAUUGAUGUUCUAAAACUCUACAGGGAUGUUAAGCUGGAGAAGGAAUGUGACAUUUGUGUUCUGUAACAUUCUCCCCAAGAAUACUUUAAACAUUCCCCAAUUGAAAGUCACAAUCAACUGCAGUAGUGGCAAGGUUUGGGGUUAAAAGUGUGCUCCAAAUGGAUGGAUUAUAGGUCCCUCUUAAAAGAUUUUUGUUAAUACUGAUUGUCACAAGUUGAUGUAGAGUGGAUGAGCAGAGCCUUCUCCUGAAAAUGACAUUUUUGUGGAACCCGAGAGCAAAUCACGAUGGGUCGAGGGAAGGUUCCAUUCAUGCUAAUAGGAUAUGCUUGCAGGCUUUCAUUGAUCAAAGUGCCAAAAUAAAAAUAAGCUGCUCCAAUGCUUGUCUUCCAAGAGGAAAAGGUGGCAUGUAAGCUUUGUGGAGAGAAGCAUGGGUAACCAUAGCGUAUGAUACUGGCAUUAGCAGCUGAAGAAGCUUUGUAUCAAUUCUAAUCUCUUCUAUGAUACAUCAUUUGAUAUCUGGUCAGGGUUAUAGAUCGAAUAGGAUUACAUGGAGAGGGAAGAUACCUACUUCUGGUUUAAAAGUGACUGCCGACUAUUGUCAUCUUGGUAUGUUAUGCAAGGAAGUUUGCUGUUGAUACAGUUUGGUGGCAAUAUACCGCCCAAGAAAGUUGCUGCAGCCAUUUUUUAUAGUAGUGCCCGGAACACUAUUAGAACGGAGCACCUAUUUUGGUCCAGCCACUCGAACCUAGUUCAACCCAAAUCCAUGUGAAGCAUUGUUCUACAGCAAGAUCUGUUAAACAUUCCAUAUCCAGUGGGUUGAGGGCACUUUAAUUGCCUGAGAGUGAGGAAUGUCAUGCAAUGUUGUUGAUUAUUGGGAAGGUUUUUUCUGAUGAAUUGGGAGGUGGUAGUUCUCCAAGGAAAGAGUCCCCUUAUGAAGCAUUGUUCUACAACGACUGUUAAACCGUCCGUACCUAAUGGGUUGAGGACACUCUACGAGCCCGAGAGUGGGGAAUGUUGUGCCAUGUUGUGGAAUGAGAGUUGAGAGUUUUUUCCUGACGAAUCAGGAGGUAGUUCUUCUCCAAGGAAAUAUUCCCCGUAUGACCUCAAAUUAUGUGGGAUCUUUCUUUUGCUGCUGAGUUGACCACGGAGCUUGUUGUCGAGGUGAUGCUUCCGAGCCAUCAUUGCUUAAGCAAUCAGUAUAUCACUGAAUAGUAGAGUUUCGUAUGGACAGAUUGAAGAUUGGAGGUGAAUAUUUUUUUUCCCUUAAAUUUUGUCCUGUUGGAAUGGGAGCUUGGGCACCUCAUUUCAUGUGAUCUGCGGAGUUGGUUAUGCUGGGUUCUGUAAUGUUAAUUAUAUAGGCUGUAUUGUUGUUUGUGGAGUGUUGGAUUUCAUAUCAAAGCGUAUGGGGGAAGGAUCAUCCAAGGUCUGCAUUGUAAUCACCCUAAGCGAAGCAGAAUCUGAUGCACUUUGGAGUGUAGUCUGAAUGCAUGUUGUGGUUUGAAUGUACUUUGAUACCAGUAAUUUCCAGCCUGUUCCAUCCGGCACCGGCACGAGAAUGUAUCAUAUUUGUUCUCUUAUCAGAUGUAUAUGCACGGGCGCAUGCAGGUGCAUGUGAUGAUAUUGCGGUUCCUUCUCGUGUACAAGUUUAGAGUUCUUUUGCCUUUCACAUCUUGUCCAUUGCAAUUGAACAGGUUGGGGGGCACCAGAAGACUUGUAGUUGACUUAUCAUCGUACUUCCACUACAGGUCGAAUUGCGUGAGACCACAUUUUAAGUCAUCGAGGGCCCUACAAUUAUGUCCUUUUUCCAUGGAAAUCUGCUCCGGUGCGCACGUUACGAGUGGAGUACGCUUGUACGACUAGCCUGCCACCACCUUUGUUUUGCAUUUUCUCGGUCCAGAUUCCACAGGCCGCGACAUUACUCGUCGGCACGGUUUUCCACGAGAAUCUUGACUAAGGAACCCUCGUGGAUCACAACGUGCCCUUUUUUACAUGCUUGAUGUUUGGAAUCAAGGGAAGAAAAGCUGCAUGAGCCAAGUCAAGUCGAGGCACGGUUUCCAAGGGAAUCUGGACUUAGAAAUCCUCGUGGAUCACAUGGGCCAUGCUACAGCGGGGUUGUGUUGACUGACCACGAAGAAAGAAGAGCCGGCAUGAUCUUAGUCAAGGCACUGGUGUUGGGUUGGGCUGAACCCUUUUGAGCGGAGUCAACCUCGGAGCCGAUUGUGUAUUUUGACUUGCCCAAGCAUAAUUGAGGGGGGAAAAAUAAAAGAAAAACAAUCCCAUUAUUUUUUUGGAGAAUAAAAAUAUCAAUGCACAGUGUAGUUAGAAAGAAAAAUAAUAAAACCACGGAUCAACAUGAUCUUUUCCUUCUCGGAUUGAAUGUCUUUCUGACCUCUGUUCAAUUCAUUGAUCGAGUAUCUGUACAAGAAGGUUGAACGUGAUGAGAUUAAAACAGAUUAAAAGAUCAUAUUCUUUCAAGUCACUUGCAUGAUUUUCUCUGUAAUCUCGCUUUCCCGAGGGAGCUCAUCUCUAUCCCACUAGUGAUAGCUUUACCAAAAUCCCACCUAUCCUUAAAUCCUGGAUGAACAACCGAGAAGGGCAUGACUUGGUUAAAGAAAAAUUGGACAGGGUUUUUUGCAACUGGAACUAGCGGAUCACUUUCCCUGGGGCCGAAGUGUUCACUUCAUUAGCAGUGGGUUCAGACCACAGCCCUUUGUUGCUAACUACUAAUGUAAAGCUGUAUAGAAAAAAGGAAUACCUUCAAAUUCGAAGCUUAUUGGUUGUAAGAUCAGGCUUGCCAAGAUAUCAUAGCAAAGGCUUGGUCCUCAGCUACAACAAAUAGAUACAACCUGCCAUACAAAUUGAAAAAGGUCAAUUGGGCUCUAUUGGAAUGGAGUAGAGUCACUUUCUCUAAAGCAAACGAUCAUAUUGCAACUUUACAACAACAACUACAAUCUCUAACAAAUCAAACACAUAGCCUUUAUGACAAACAACUCGUCACCAAGUUGAAAGAAAAGCUCCACAAUGCUUGAUAGCAGGAGAAACAAUAUUGGGCUAUGCGCUUUAGGAUAAAUUGGGCUAAGGUGGGGCGAUAAAAAUACUAAGAUUUUUCAUGCCACUACCAUCCAUCGAAGACAAAGGAACAAAAUCAAGAUGCUACAAGACAACAAUCAAUGAUGGGUUAGAGAUGAUCACCUUCUAAAGGAAAUGACGAUGGAAUUCUUUUCCAAACUCUACAAAACAAAGGGCUAUCACGACUAUGGGUUGAUUCUUGACAAAUGUGAGUGUGUUGUUACUAAUGAUAUGAAUGCUAAACUAACUGCAAUAGUCACCCGCAAGGAAGUUCAAACAGCCACUUUCUAGCUGGGGAAAACUCAAACUCGGGGUCCUGAUGGAUUCAACAGUCUUUUUUAUCAAAACCACUGGGACAUCUUCCAAGACGAAGUUUACUUAUCAGUGUAGCAAUUUUUCCAAUCUGGAUUGAUGUCCUUGGAACUGAAUAGAACCAUUAUUUCACUCAUACCGAAAGUCCCUAACUCGGAAUGUCUAGACCAAUACCGACUCAUUAGUCUUUGUAAUUAUGCUUACAAAAUAAUAUCCAAGGUGCUUGCCAACCGAUUGAAACCUUUCCUUCCUGACUUGAUAUCUAUGGAACAAAGUGUUUUUGUGAACGGCCGCCGAAUCCAGGACAAUAUUUUAAUUGUACGUGCUUCAUCAAAUCAAGACAAGAACUCGAAAGCGAAAAUUUCAAGUGGUCGUCAAGAUGGACAUGAAAAAGGCGUAUGACCGUAUUGAGUGGGAUUUCCUAAGAGAUUAUCUACUCAGGUUGGGAUUCCAUUCUACUUGGGUACAGUGGUUAAUGUAGUGCAUCACUACAGUCUCCAUAAGUGUAAAAUUUAAUGGGGAAGAACUGAAUUACUUCCACCCAACGCGAUGCAUUUGAUAGGGAGACCCUCUAUCACCCUAUAUUUUCAUCACGAUGGCGAAUGUCAUGUCAACACUCAUCCAUCAAGCUCUCCAAAUGGGAAACCUCAAGGGCAUCCAGCUGAACAGGUGGUCUCCUACUCUGACCCAUUUAUUUUUUUGCAGAUGACGCUAUAUAUUUCCUAGAUGGGAAAGUACAAGAAUGCUCAAGAACUAGCCAACAUUCUGAACCAAUAUUGUCUAGCUACAAGACAGGCAAUAAAUCGAAACAAAUUUGGCAUAUACUUCAGCAAAGAUUGCCCUAACAGACUUAAGGAAAGCUUGGCAAAGGAAUUCCGAAUCCCAAUGUUAGAGAAAACGGUAAAUACCUUGAUAUCUUGUCGAACUGGGGAAGAUCCAAACGAGACAUGUUUGCUUGGAUAUUAGGGAAAGUCAAUGCAAAACUUGAUGAAUAGAAAGAAAGUCUCAUUUCUAAAGAUGGCAAGGAGAUUCUCAUAAAAAAAGUGUCGUACAAGCAAUCCCACAGUAUGCUAUGUCAAUUUUCAAAAUCCCUGCUUCGCUUUGCAAGUCCAUUGAAAAAAAGAUUGCAAGAUUUUGGUGGCAGAACGACAGCCGAAAGUCAGGAAUACACCGGAGGAACUAGGAUGUACUGAAAAACGGGAAGGAAAUGGGAGGACUCAAGUUUCAAGACCUCAUUGCUUUAGGCAAAUAAGCCUGGCGACUAAUACAGCAACCUACUUCUUUGUGGAGCAAACUCUUUAAAGGUCUUUAUUUCCAUUCACAGGAUUUCUUAAAUGCUUCCAAAGGUACUCGACAUUCCUGAGGUUGGCAGAGCCUACUAGUCGGACGGGAUUCCAUUUUAUCAAAGAUUCAAUGGUUGGUCGAAGAGGGGACUAACAUAAGAAUUCGUGAGGAUCGAUGGUUUCCUAGAGGUAAAAUAGGCGGAAUUGCUACUACAAAAGAACCUGAAAGAGUAGCUGAACCGAUCGAUACAGAAACCAACCUAUGGAAUGUGACUUUACUACAACAUCUCUUUGAUGUUGAGACUAUAGUGGAAAUCCUCAAGAUCCCGAUAAGACCUCACUAUGUGCCAAAUCAGAUUAUUUGGACAAGUACAGUUCGAGGUGAGUAUACUGUGAAAAGCGCUUAUCGUGCUAUACGGCAAGCAGCCCCUAGUAUUAAUGAAAACAAAGCGUCCUCUUCAUAUCAACCACCAAAGCACCUCUGGAAAAACAUAUGGAAACUCAAAAUCACUCCCAAAAUCCGACUUUUCCUUUGGUCAUUAUGCCAAAACACUCUGCCCACUAAGGACAACCUCUUCCUCAGAAAAACCAGCGCAGAUCCAGUUUGUAAUCUAUGCUCAGCUCAACAACUAGAAACAUUGGAACACUUAUUUUUAUUUUGUCCAUGGACAUCCAAAGUUUGGUCUAACCCCUAAAUCAACAUUCGUAUACUACCCUCAGAAAUUCAUCGCAUAGAGGUUUGGAUUGAAGACCGAUUUGAACAGAGGAACGUCUUACCUGGUAUGGAGCUUAUCGCCACACUCUUAUGGCAAAUCUGGAAGGCACGCAACAGGUCCAUCUUCUACCAGCAGAGUCUAGAUCCCUCAUAUGUUUUCGCUACAGCACUCACCCAAGCACGCAUAGCUCAGGUUGCCUCUAUCCAUGUGGCCAGAUUAGCUCGAAGAAACCUAGAUCUAGCCACAUCGUGGAGGCCCCCGAUCUAGGAGUCUUAAAGAUCAAUAUAGAUGGGGCUUUUUAGCCAAGAAGCACCACAAGAUUAGUAGCAUACCUCUGUCGCGACCAUACUAGUAAAUUGAUCGAAGGCUUUACCAAAGACGUACCUACUUCCUCGGCGUUGCAGGUGGAGAUCCAGGUGCUGAGUUUAACCUUACACCACCUGCUGAACACCAACAAGACUAUAUAUCCUCUUAUAAUCGAGUCAGACUGUCUCGCGAUGGUUGAAGCGGUGCAAGAUUUUCAAGCGUCGCCAUGGGAGGUCAGAUCGCCCAGACCGCUGAUUGGCGAGGUUGUUGCUAUGCUCCCCUGUUUCCAUCGUCUGCUCGUUAGGUUUUGCAGAAGAGAAGCAAACUUUGCUGCGGAUUGGGCCGCUAAGGCCCAUAGCUAUGGCUUGUUGCCUCCAACUUGGGCUGUUCCCCCCCCCCCCCCAACUCCCUUGUUAGACCUUGUUUCAGAUGCUUUUGAAGCGGGAU